Molecule: long non-coding RNA, 87149 nt
Filed under: Setaria viridis
Lineage: Eukaryota; Viridiplantae; Streptophyta; Magnoliopsida; Poales; Poaceae
Description: long non-coding RNA (SVIR_LNC005871)
Source: RNAcentral
CUUAUUGUUGAAAACCUAGAUAAUUUGGUGGAUAUUGGGCAUACUGUUGGAAGUUGCUUGGAGGGCCAAAAGGAUUGAAAUUUUGCAAUCCAUGAGUAGGUGGGCUAUUUUUGGGAUACUGUGUAUGGUUGAAAGAUGUGGGAGGAAACUGAGAGUGGUUGAAAGAGUUGGGAAUAUGAUUUGGUGUGAAAUUUAAGAUGUACUGGAAAUUAGUAUUUUUUGGCCUGGGAUUUGUGGGAUCAGAGCCGAGCAAUCUUGAGAAACUUCCAUCUGGUGGAUACAUCUGAACCAAUCAAUGUGGUUUGUGUGCUGGUAUUGUGUUGUUUUAAGCAUGAACCUAUCCUCUUCCUAUUCAGGCUAUUGGUGUUGCUUUGAGCAUGAACCUUUCAUUUCCUUUUAUGCAGGUUGGAAGGCAACGGCUAGAAGAAGGUUCUAGGAAGAAAAAAGGAACACGGAUAAAUGAAGAGAAAAAGGCUACAGGAAGAGGAACAUAGAUAGAUGAAAGCUACAGGAAGAGCAACGGGUAGAAGAACUAAGGAGGCAACGGUGAAGUGUAGCCAAUGGUUAAAACUUGAAUCCGGUGGUGCGGUUGGUAGUUGGUAGUUGGAAGUUGUCAGACUCGUGUCAGACUUUUGAGUUGUUUAUUUGCUGGUACCUGGUUCUAUACAUGGACCCUGGUUCUCCAUGGAACCAGCCACACAAUGUUUAGGACCUGGGUCUAUAGGAGCAUUAAUUGUAUAGCACCAGGUUUUUCUGCACAUUGGAGAGGCCCUCAGGUGAGGCUAGCAGAAUCAAUCAAAAGAUCUAAAAGGAUCCUGAGUUUCACAAAGAAAGAGGGAGGCUUCACUAGGAGAGAUGCAAAAGCCCACCCUCCGACUAAGGGCAUGUUUGGAACUUUUGCUGGCUCCUGUGUUACCUAACUAAGCAAGAAAUUGGCAUGGAUGAGUUGUUUGGAUGAGCACCUCGGGGCUUGUGCUUUCCAUCUUUACCCUCGCCACUUCGAGCGAGCCAAAUUCGCUCGCCAGCGCCCAGCCAGGCGAGGCAAGGCAAGCCACUAAACAAACCAAAUGUGCCCUAAGGCUUUGGAUGAGCCUUCAAUCCAACCACUACAACAUGCCGAGGGAUGGGCUUGACCAUGACCUGUGAUUCCAGGCUACAUGCCAAUUGCCAAGCAUUGUUUGUAGAUGGCCACGAUAGAGGUCAAGCGUGCUGGCGUGGCGAUGGUAGGCGUUGCAUCAACAUACAUAGCACCACGUCACACCAUGAGGUCAUCUCAAGUGGUUAAGUAAUGUCAUAUACAACAAAUUACAUUGGCUUUCCAACUUGUGGAAGUAUGUUCGGGUAACCUUAUGACAUAUAUCUUUUGAAUAAUUUUAGUUUUUAUAAUAAUAUGCUACUUACAAGUGAGUCAUCAUACAUACAAGAUACAAUUGCAUAGAGAACGAGCCGUAGCUCGAGUGGCUGGCUGUGCGGUUGUGCACGCUGCUUGCUAACGUUCAAUCCCUGGGAUCAGCGCUGGUGUCUCACCGGAGCUUUGCCUCCAGAAAUAAAUUUCGUUGCCUCUCAUGCAUGGAGCCAUAAAGGGAAUGCGAUGUCUCAUUGUCUACGGAGCCAUGAAUGGUCUUGGUGAUGUCUUCAAGGACACAGUCUGCUAUCUAGAUGUAGUUGUAGGGUUGUUUGUGUACGUGUGGUGUGAGUGAGGUGUCCCUGAUGUGUAAGAUUGGUGUGUGUGAGUGAAGUCCUAUCCAGGUCGCUUGCCUUGGGAGUCUAAGAUCUUGUAUAGUUCUGCUUGGCUGUUGCAGUUUAUUAGCAUGUGUCGCGGCUGUUUUUUUUGUUGAGGCCUGGGUGUGUGUGGGUGUGAGGUUUCUGUACUCGGGGAGAGUCUUUCCAUACUCGCGUACUCUUUUUUUAAAAUGACGCACAACUCUCCUACAUAGUUCGAGAGAAAAAAUAGAUACUACAGUUGUAUCACUAGUAGAGAAAGGACUUUCGAUCCAGAGACAUAUAUCUCAAUCAUUUUUGGACCCGGGACUAAAGAGGGUCAAACGGCCACCACCGAUAGCCACAUCCGAUAGGAGAUUUAGUCCCGGUUGUAACGGCUAUGAUGGAUAAGGGAGUCCGAUGGAGCAUCUAGUCCCGUUGGAAAAAACCGAUCGAAACUAAAGGUCUCUCAUUUAGUCCCAGUUGGUGUUACCAACCGGGAUUAAUCAUUUAGUCCUGGUUGGUAACACCAACCGAGACUAAAUGAGAGGCCUUUAGUCCCGGUUGAUUUUUCCAACCGGGACUAAACGUCCACCCUAUAAAAAUCCCCUUCUUUCUCCCCGAGCCCGAGCCACUCAUCAGAUCGAGAGCGCGGCUCCUUCUUCAUGGCGAGCAAGCAAGCUUAGGGAGGUGCUGCUGAUUUUUUUCCUCAUUUUCAUGGGAAUUUCACUCAUCCAAAGUGUUGUAAAGGUUAGCUACUUCAUCCUCCCUUCAUUUAUUGUUAUUAUGCUUUCUUUUAUGCUUUAGAGAUAGAGAAAAAUGAGUUUUUUUUAGAAUGAGGGAGAAUGGAGAGGAUUUUUUAUUUAUAUAUGUUUUUGAGCUAGAAUUUGAUGGAUAGCUUGUUUACAUAUGAUUCGUAUUAGAUAAAUAUCUUGAUCAAUAUUAGGUAUGGGAAAAAAUAGAGUAAAUGUGUUUUUAAUAUUUAGUCCUUGCAAUCAAAUUAAGGUAAAUAAAUUGUAGGUGUAAGAAAUAGAAUUUGGUCAUUGCUAUAAUUUUUUGAAUAGUUUGCAUGUUAAAUUAGAGUGUCAUGAAAAUUACACCGGUCAACUUAAUGCUGGAAUUGUGGAACAGGAUAACAAAGGUACACUAAAGACUACAGACGCUCCAUAGUGUACUUCACGGAGUCAAGAAUCCAAAAAUAAUGGUAGAACAGAAAAACUUCAAGUCCACAAACUUGGGCUGAAUAUUAUAAAAGAAUCUUGAAAUAAUUUUCCAAACACCUUUUGGAGCCACAUUCUCAUAAUAGAAGUAUAGUGGCCCAAUAGCCUGUUUAGGCAGAGAUUUGUUCACUAACCUUGACCCAUUGACUUUUGGUUGGUUUUAGCUUGCUAAAAUAGGCCAUGCUCAGUGAACAGAUCUUUUGCCUGGAUAGGCUAUUGUGUGCCACCAUACUUCUAUUAUGAAAAUGUGGCACUUGCUCCAAAAGACGUUUGGAAAAUUAUUUCAAGAUUCCUUGAUGAUAUUCAGCCCGAGUAUGUGGACUCGAAGAUCUUCUGUUGUAUCAUUAUUUUCUGGUACUGGAGGAGCGGAGGUGACUAUCCAUAGAAUUCGGAGAAGAUUGAGUCAUGUGCAGAGAUGGCUUGGAGGGUGAACAUUCUGCUAUGUUGUACCAUUAUUUUAGGAUUAUUGACUACGUGAAGUCCACUAUGCAGCAUCUGUAAUCUUUAGUGUAUAUAUAUCUUUAUUGUCUUAUUCCAGAAUUCUAGCAUUUCUCUUUUUAUCAACCUAGUGAAUGAUAUGAAGGUUGAACGGUGUAAUUUUUAUGUGAAUUAUUUUUAUCUUUAUAAAGGUUGAUUUAUGUAAAUUAUCAAUAUUGAUCAGGUUCUUUAUCUAAUAUGAAGAUCUAUGUCCAUUUUUUACGUAAUAUGAUGCAUAUGGACCGGCAAUGGACGUAUAACGUAGACAGACAGACCAAGUAUAAGUUGAUGGCUUGCAUUAUUUUCUCGAAGUGACCAGCCAACAAGCUAGAGUAGAGAUUCAUAUGUUGUCCAUGCUUCCAAUGUAGUAAGAAGAAGGACUACUCUUCCUGGGGGACUCUUCACAGCCACUUGUUUAGAUACGGUUUCAUGCCUAACUAUUUGGUUUGGAUGAAGCACAACGAAAGAGGGGUUAUAAGGGAAGACGGUAAAAAAGAGAAGGAUGAUAACAACAUUCCUGCAUGGGUUGCAGGCUAAAAUUUUGCAGAUACUACAUUGGGUGAGGUUGAUGAAAAAGAGUUUGCAGAAGACGUCUGUCCGAUUUAUAAGCCCAACAGUCCACCAGGGAAUUACCUAAGUGGUUGAUUUGUAGGUGGAGGUGAUUGUGAAACCAAGAACUCGAAGGUGAUCGUUAGAGCACAAGGGACACGAGGGUUUUAGACAGUUUCGGACCUCCGGAGAGUAAUACCCUACGUCCUGUAUGCUUGGUGGCUUGUAUUGCUUGAGAGAUUCGAUGCCCUCGGGAGGCUCCCUUGGCUGCCUUAUAUAGGCUGAUGACCUAGAGUUACAAGUCGGUUUGAAUCUAAUCUACUUGGUAGUUACAUGGAAGGUAAUCUGAGUCCGAGCACAGUAUCCGGGCAGAUUUGAAUCGCCCGGCCUACUUAGCGUGUACUCCAAGUAACUUCAUAUCCUUAGCACGCACGCCCUGGUCGGGUGGGCUCACUUGUUAGGUCCGGCCAGUAUUCUGGUCGGUAGGGACCCAUGAGGUAAUCAUAUCCCUCAAUGGCCCUAUUGAUGAUCUUGGUCAGGUGCUACGGGAUGCACAGAAAGACUGCAAAACUUAGAAGAAAUAAAAAAAGUUACAGCGCAUGAUAGAUGAUAAAAAAAUUGUUGUACCCAGAUUGCAAGUAGAGGCAUGAAAAACUACGUACCACACUGAAAAUGCUGCAAUGGAAGGGAAAAAAUUGUGUAUCUAAGAAGACAUUUCAAUGGAUAUUGAAAAUUGUAAAGAACAUGCUUGCCGAGAAUAAUGAAUUGUCAUCCACAACAUAUGAAGCUAAACAGGUUGUUUGCCCUCUGGGAUUGGAGGUUCAGAAGAUACACGCAUGUCCUAAUGACUGUAUCUUCUAUCGUGGUGAUGAAUACGAGAAAUUGGAUGCUUGUCCUGUGUGCGGAGCGCAGCGGUAUAAGAUCAGGCAAGAUGUUCCUGGUGAUGUUGAGAGGCAACCUUCCAAGAAAAGAGUUCCCAUGAAGGUGAUGUCGUAUUUCCCUAUAAUACCAUGUUUGAAGUAUUUGUUCAGAAACAAGGUGAAUGCUAAGUUGAUGUGAUGACACAAAAAAGAAAUCUAAGCAAGAUGAGAUGCUAAGACACCCCACAGAUGGGGCUCAGUGAAGAUCAAUUGAUAGAGCAUUCCCAUUCUUUAAAAGUGAUGCAAGGAACAUAAGGUUUGGUUUAAGUACUGAUGGAUUCAAUCCAUUUGGAGAGUUGAGUAGUAGUCAUAGUACUUGGCCUGUGACCCUACGUAUGCUUAACCUUCGUCCUUGGCUGUGCAUGAAGCGGAAGUUUAUUAUGAUGCCGGUGCUUAUCCAAGGUCCAAAACAACCCAACAACGACAUUGACUUGUACCUAAGAUCGUUGGUUGAUGAAAUUUUACUGCUCUGGAAGGAAGAAGGUGUACGUGUGUGGGAUGAGAAUAACCAAGAGAGCUUUGACCUACGAGCAUUGUUGUUCAUAACCAUCAAUGAUUGGCCUAUGCUGAGUAACCUUCCAAGACAGACAAACAAGGGAUAUCGGGCCUGCACCCAUUAUUUAGAUGACACAGACAACAUGUAUUUGAAACACUGUAGAAGGAGGGACCUUUAGUCCCGGUUGGUAUUACCAAUACCAACCGGUACUAAAGGGUCCUUUUUCAUCUCCCGCGCUUAAUACCACUCGAGACUAAAGGCCCUUUAGUCCCAGGUGAUGUUAUUAUCAACCGGGACUAGGGGGAGUAUAAAUAUUCCGACCCUCCCCUCCUCGGGACUUAGCCAAUUUCAUGAUCUCCGUGCGCAUGGCCUCCUCCUCAUCGCCUCCGUCACCACCGCAUCGCCACCGGUGCUGCCGUCAUCUCCCUGCAGGCGUCCCUCUAAACAUCGUCAUCACUCCCUGACCGUCGCACCGUCGCCGUCCUCUCCACGCCCCGGCUCCCCCGGCACCAUCCACCGGAGCCCCAAGCCGUCGCACCGCCGCACGCCCUUUCGCCACCGAUCCGCACCUCGGCUCCCUGGCAGCACCCUCCCGGCCCGGCGCCCUCCUCCUCACCUGGUCCUCCGCCGCACGGUGCCACAUCGCCUAGCCCGACACCCCUUCGCCACUGCAGUGCGCGCCCCAGCGCGGCCCCCACCGGUUGCCGCCUCUCCUCCGUCCCAGCACCCUUCGCAACGCCCGCACGGCCCCGAUGCACCCCUGCGCCGCCAUCUGCCGACACCCAUCCCACUGCACACCAUUCGACGAUGCCCAUCCCACUGCGCCACCGUCCGGCGCCGUCCCAACCCUUGCACUGCCGUCUGGUAUGUGUACGGCUGGCGCGAUGCGCCGGCUUGCUGACGCAAGCCGUUUUUUGAUUAGGAAAUUUUUAACUUGGAAAUUAGUAGAUUAGAUUAGGAAUUUAGUAGAAAUUAGUAUAAUUGAAUAGGAAUUAGUAGAAUUUAGUAGAAUUCAGUAGAAAAAUAGUAGAAACUAGUAGAAAUUAGUAAAAAAUUAGUACAAAUGCUUACAAAAUAGUACAAAUGCUUGGGAAUUAGAAGAAAAUUAGUAUUAAUUAGAAGAAACUAGUAGAAAUUAAGUAGAAACUUGUAGAAAUUAAUAGAAAAUUAGUACAAAUGCUUAGAAAAUAGUAUAAAUAAUUAGAAAUUGUUAUAAAUGCUUAGAAAAUUCAAUGUAUGGUUUCAUGUGUAUAUUUCAAGAAUUUGUAUAUUUCAAUAAUGUGUAUAUUUCAAUAAUGUGUAUAAGUUUCCAUGUAUAAGUUUCUUUUAUUAUUCCAUGUGUAUAAGUAUCCAUGUAUGUAUAUUUUAAUAAUUUAAUGUAUCUAUGAUUACAUGUGUGUAUAACUAAUGUCAUUAUUAGUUGAGGUCGUACAAAGAUAAUGGAGGGAAGGCUUUACAUCACCGAAGUGACAGAGGAGGGUCAGCCAAUUGCUCUCGAAAAAGUCGCUAGAAAGUUCGUGAGUCAAUGCGGGGCUAUUGUAAGGGACAACGUGCCCAUCAACAUUCGAGAAUGGAAGGGUAAAAAAAGAUGAUCCAUACGUGCUCCAGCAGACACAGAAAGAUAUAUUGUGGGAAAAUGUCAAGAAACACUUCACACCUCCUGAUGGCGUCAAUGAAAAAGUUGUGAAAGACUGGACGCUCAAGAAGAUGCCAACCCAAUUCCAGACCUUCAAGAAGAAUAUGGAUGCUAACUAUAUCAAGAAGGGCCAAACUCUAGAUUUUAAUGACUAGCCAAAGUUAAGAGAUCACUGAAACUCAUUUCUGGAAUACAAGAGGAUAGUGCGAACAAGGUUCGUGUCAACUCAAGCAAUGCCCAGAAGAAAGGGUACCAUCAUCGUCUAGGGUAAGGUGGCUACAUAAGUGCAAUUCCCAAAUGAAGAAAGAUGGAACAAGACCUAAUCGAUCGAGGUAUCGUACCAUCGACUAUUGAUUGGCCCGAUCGAUCGAAGAAUUGGUAUUAUGCUCACGGAGGCACCCUUAGCCCUGCGGAUGGGAUACUUAUUUUCAACGAAAUAAUACGUCAAAAGUCCCUCAAGCUUAUCAAAAACAUUGAAGAUUCUAAAGCGGGAAAGUUCAAGCCUAAUGUAGAGAAUGAUGAGUUGACUUUGGCGCUCGGGAAUCCCAAACACCCAGGGCAUUGCUGAAGCUUCGGGGUUGUCGUUGUCAAGAUUAGCGGAUCAAGACUAAGACUAGUAAAUUUCUUUUAUGCGCGUAAGGCUUCGGAUGGUGGCGUGAGAGACACGGGGUUUAGACUGGUUCGGGCAAGGAAGAGCCCUACGUCCAGUAUCGGGGAGCUGCUCGUGUUGCCCACGCGGGGUCUAUAGUAGGGGUUACAGGAGGGCGAGAGAGGGAGCUGGUCCCAAGUCUCUUGGGUGUGCACUGAGGCUCUAAAGGAGAGUGUGAGCGUGUUCUGUUGGCUUGAGAGAGUCUUUUGUCUUGAGGCCCCCGGUUCUCCUUUUAUAGCGCAAGGAGGCUACCGGGGUUACAAGUGAGACUGGGUGUGAGGAUAAGUAAAAGAGAUGAACUAAGUUAAGUAAAAUACAACAUAAGGAGAGGGACCAAGUUCCUAGACCGCCGGCGUCCUCUCCGGCUUUCGGCUCCUGCCAGCGUGUCCGCCGGAAGAGGGCGGCUGCCGUCAAGUCCGGUCGACGGUUUCCUUGGUGGCUGUUGCCGCCAGGCGUGAUGAUGGUGUUCUGUCGUGGCACCUGUGUCCAUCGGGGAAGGCGGCUAAUCCUGCCAUCCUGCUGAUGGCCCGUGGGACGUGGACGUCACGUUCCUGUCGCCGGAUGCGUGGGGUGAGAGAACGGGUGGGACUCCCUCCUGUGCCUGGCGGCGCAGGCCAUGAGUGCCCGUAGCGAAUCGGAGGGAGCCGCGACCACUGUAGCCUGCUCUGCACGGUCGCGCAUGGGUACUUGUGGCGGGUCGCGUCGGGGGCGCGGGCGCCUUUCUGCGUGCUAGAGCCGCGGCGCAUUUGUGGCGAGGUCGACAGGGAGACCCACAAGAUCCGCGCCCUGAUCUUCCAAUCUGCGCCCGAGGCGGAUAUUUGUCUUGCGGGCCCGGAUGAGUCCGACCCCCUGCGCCCUGGGUUGGGCGAGGCGGAGUCUUACGGCGGGGGUCGGGUGCUCCCGACCCUAGGCCCUUGGGUCAGGCGAGGCGGAGUCUUGCGGCGGGGGGUAGGGUGCUCCCGACCCUAGGCCCCUGGGUCGGGCGAGGCGGAGUCUUGCGGCGGGGGGUCGGGUGCUCCCGACCCUAGGCCCUUGGGUCAGGCGAGGCAGAGUCUUGCGGCGGGGGGUCGGGUGCUCCCGACCCUAGGCCCCUGGGUCGAGCGAGGCGGAGUUUGGUCAUCAAGGGGUCGGGAGCGUCCGACCCCGGAGCACUGGGUCGGGCGAGGCGGAGCGGGGCUCUCCCCUCCCAUGUUGGACUGACGGUAAUCUUUAUUACCUCAGGUGGGCCUGGGCCUUCAUGAUCAUUGUUUUAAUGGGCUUUAAGGGGUCGUUAAUAUUUCCCCCCAACAAGGGUGGUUCCAUGGAAGUUUGCUUUCCGUAGGAACAUCGACACGUACAAAAGCCGAAAGAGAAGAAAAUAACAGCAAGAGGAGAGGUGGCGGUGCAUGUUAGAAGCUAAAGUGCAUGAACAAGAUGUAAAAAUGCAGGAAGAAAUUAAUCGGCGAGUGGCCCUAGCAGUUACUGAGAUGGCCCAAUCUGGAGCACUGCCGGAUCCUAACAUCAUCGUCAACCCUUCUCAAUGUCGAAGGAGCUGUGCUUCCACAGGGAUCCCCGAUGAGAACAUGCUAAGCUUACCUGUGGUUACGCAGGACAACCAACGGUACCCUAUGGAUGACAUCACUCAGUGCACGUCAUGUGAGUUGUACAGAUCAUUUGGCAACCUCAUGCCAAGCUUACCUGUGGUUGCGCAGGACAACCAACGGUACCCUGUGGAUGACAUCACUCAGCGCACCUCAUGUGAGCUGUACAUAUCAUUAGGCAACCUCACUACUAAAGUAUAUAUAUAUAUAUAUAAAUAUAUAUAUAUAUAUAAUUUAUACAAUUAUCUCAAUUGAUCCACGUAUCGGGAGUUUAAUAGCUUCUUUAUUUUUCCUAUAUAUACAAGUGGUGGCGUAAGGAUAUUUUAUACAUUCUAUAACACAAAUAUUUCAUAACUUAUUUUUUUUCACUAAAGUGCGGAACAAGGGAAUAAUUUAUGUGGAUACUACGUUUGUGAGCACAUGUACCAUUUCGUGAGGGAUAAGAUGUACGUAAAAUAAACCUAUUAGUAAUUAAUUAUUUUCUAGCUUCUUAUAUUUAAUUAUUGGUGUAACAUUCACAUAUUUUCAAAUUACAGAUGAUGCAUAUUAGAGAAGAAUUCUUAGAGAAGGAGAGGCUUUUGGCAAUCCAAGAAGCUCUCAUAGGAUUUCUAAUGGACGAGGUGCUAAAUCCCAAUGGAGAAUUUUAUUAUGAUAGAUAUCCAAUAGCCGAACCGAGCAACACCCCGACGGGAGGAUUCUAAGAAUUAUGAGGAUAAAUUAUUGUAUAUAUAGUGAUUGUAUAAAUACUAGUUUGAUGUGUAUAAACUACUAAGAAAUGUAUAUAUAGUAGUUAAAAGUAAUAUUAUGCAUAUACUGUCAUGAAAUAUAUAUACGACAUGCAUGCAAUACGAGCGUAUACGUGUAAGUAGCAUACGCUAAGGAUGUAUACGUAUAGGUGUAAUAUAUAAGUGAAGCAACAGUAAGCAUUAAUAUUGAAAAGAAUUCAGGGUAAAAAGAAAAAAUGUCUUUAGUUUCGGUUGAUAAUACCAAAAGGGACUAAAGGGGCCACGUGCAUGUGCCUGCAUGGCGGCCCCUUUAUAUCCAACCGGGACUAACUAUUCGGAACUAAAGAUCCCCUCUUUAGUCCCAGUUGGUGUUAUUCACCCGGGACUAAAGACCUCCUUUAGUCCCGAGUUAUUCACCCAAGAUUAAAGGUCCCGGUUGGUAAAUACCAACCGGGACUAAAGAGGGGGAUCUUUGGUCCCGAAUAGUUAGUCCCGAUUGGAUAUUCGAAAGAUAUGACUCUCUCCAAUUGGGACUACUGCUCGAUUUUCCACCCGUGUAUGUAGAUGAGAGGCAUUAAAAAAAAAGAUACAAUUGCAUGACGGAUUAUUUUCUCUCCAAUGUUUGACGAAUACAAGUUGCUUCUUUCAUCAUGAAAUGGUACAAUAUUCUCUCAAAAGGAAAGGACAUGCAUGGAUCAUCGCACAUGCUACAUGUAUGAAAAGAAGUAUAGACCAAUGUGCAGUGUAGGAUCUUUUUCAGUCUGUUAGUUGUUUUUGGAAGCGUCACACAAUGAAAGCUAACAGAUGCUCAUGCCGAUCGAUGCACUCCAUACACAUAUUGAACUGCAGUCUGCAGGCGCUAGCCAAUUAGCCUCGCGUUACAUGAGAUCGAUUCUCUCGCAAAGUUGAUUAGCUACCAAGCAAUUUGUCUUUGCCGUUAUACUACGUGCGGAACGGCUCGAGGCGCCAAAACGCAGCAAUCCACCACGUGCGGAGCGACACGCACUCCCGUGCUCGCGGAGAUUGAAGCGAGCCUCCCACGCGUCUGUUCUCCGGUGGCCUCCGCUCCAAUGUAACGGCGGCGAGGAUCCUCCGCGUGGAGCGUUGACUCCCUGAUUCGCCCGCAGUGUGUGUCGUUCCGCAAUUGGAUGAUGGACGGGAAAGGCCGUUCAAUUUGGAUGUUUACUUAGGUUAAAAAACAGUCAUUUGUAAUUGGAAAAAAAACAACAGAAAUGCUACAUGACGCCCGACUGCCAGAGUACAUCCCAUUUUUUCUUGCAUCCAAUAUAUCUUCACUGUUGUCUCUUCAACUCCAGCGAGAUCCGCCCCCAUCCUUUCCAUCUCCGGCAAGAUUUAUCUCCUCCAGUGAGUUAGGAUCAGAGAUUGGAGGUUGAGGGUAGGGAUGAUUGCGGUUUGGGUGGUUGGAGAUUUCAUGAUUAAUUAGAGGGGGAGUUGGGGGAGGAAGGCCGCCAGCCUUGUGCUGAGAGGGUCGGUUGACACGUCGGCAAGGUAGAUAGGGUGUUGUCGGCUAGGAUAGUGGAGGAUGACAAGUGGGGAGUAGGGGCGGAGCUGGGCGGGCGAGUCACCGGUGUCAAUCCCACUGAACACCGGUGUCAGCUACACGAAUGAACAGUGCGCAACAGUGAUUUGCUACUGAUAUUCAAGAAACCAUAUGUGUCAGCUGACACCGAUGAACAGGCGUAGCUCCGCCCCUGGUAGGGAGGCUGGGAGGGUGGAGAUUGGGAUGAUUAAAAGGGCUCAAGGGUGUGAGGAUGGAUCUGGUAGCAGGAGCCGCAGGAGACGCUGGUACGAGGCGGGGCGGGGGCGGGGGCGGGGGUGUUUGAGGUCUUCAUAAACAUCUAUGGUGAUUGUAGGGAGGAAAAGGAAGAAAGUUAGAGGAAGAAAAUGGCUAGAUGAGGAGGAAGAAAGAAGGAGAACCGUUGGAUGAAAUGCUGCCGUAGAUUCAAGGAUUGAAAAUCUGAGCGUAGGUAGAGGGUAAAAAGACAUCCCCUAAAAUAAAUAGAUUUUUAGUGAGAUAUUGGUAAGUGACGAUGCUAAAUUGGUAGGAUUCACUCUCCUAUAUCCGAGUGUACCCGUGCAUUUCCUUAACAAAAUUUGAUUUAUGAUCUCUGCUUUAUUAUUUGUUUAAAGAUAUAGAAAUACUUAUUUUUAAUCAGCCACAAAGAAUUACUAAAUCAGAAACAUAGAACAUCUGAAGUUUCCAAAGGAAUUUAAUUAGUAAUUUCUUGAUGACAAUCGAUGCUUUUAAUUAUUUUAGUCUUUAUUAAAGAUGUUCACAAGAUGAAGUUUAGUAAACUAGCUCCCAAUUCAGCAAAUCGUAAGAAUAGUAUCUGCUCAAGUAAUUUUAGAUGGCGUAGAAUUAGGGGCGGAUUCAAGGGCUCAUUUUUCUUCCUCUUCUUCUUCGUCCAUAGCUGAAGGAGCUUUUUUUUUGGGGGGGGGGGGAGCCCCAGCCCCAUGCUAGAUCCGCCCCUGCAUAGAAUAGAUAUUCUAAUUUUUUGUAUAGAAUAACCUUAUUGUAAAAAUGUGGAAUAAUACAAAGAUAAUUUGUGCAUAAUCUUCACAUUGACCAACCAAAACCACUAUGACGUAAUUGUUGAUCAAAGCUGGAAUGCUUUUACUCUGGUCAAUGCCAUCCCAUUGGAAUGCUUGCAUGUGCCAACAAAAUUGAGAUGCUUGGUGUUUGCUAUACAGUUGUUUGCUCAAACUGGUACCAAGCCAUCAUAAGAUCGAGAACCCUGUACCACGCUGUAUCAUAAAUUUAUAAGCACAUCAACCAGCCUAAAAUUUGAACCAACCAGGUUUUUAUUUCCAGCUUCUCUAAAUUAUUGUUCCAUCGGGUCAGAAAUAUUUGUGUGUUUUAUGCCUUUUUUUUUACCUUGGCACGUUCUUCAACUGAAAUUUUUGCCAGCGGUUCCUUUUUUUUAAUAUUGUAAAGGUACUCCUCUAAUCGAAUGCACACAUGACUUAAAUGUUCCCAACAUAAAAAUGCACAUGUUAUAAAAGAUAUUGAUCGCUAAGUUUUUGAAAGAGUUUGUUCAUAUGAGUCCUAAGGUAGUACCCCUCCAUCCCAAAAAUAGGUAGGUUUAGGUUUGUCCCAAGUUAACCUUUUCAAUAUAGAUUGUUAACGUAAAAUUGAUGUUACUAGAUUAAUUGUAAAACCAAAUAUCAAACAUGUAAAUUUUCUAUUUGAAAUAAAUUAUAUAUUACAAAUAAUGUUGGUAAAAGAUAUAAAAAUAUUUGAUUUAGGAGAAAACCUAAACGUAGCUAAAUUAUGGAUAAAUAUGCUAAGGUAGUAAUAAAUAUUACAUUGCCUUUGCCCCUUUUGACAUCUUGAGAGGGUCAAUAUAGCUUUCUUUGGCAAGCAUACUUUGACAUGUAUGGCUUGUGCGUGCAGUUACUGAAAUGCAAGCAGAAGCAUUCCAAUGACCAGUGAGUCAAGUGUUUUAUAACAAAACUGGUUGCAUGAUAGCUCUUUCUUCAAAAGACAAAGGAGCCAUAAUGGUGGAAGAGGAAAAUAAGGACCAAAUUGAGCAACUUGCAUGAUUGUUGUCUGCACAUUGGGUGCAGAAAAGAUUGGCAUAUGCCAAUUCAGGAUCCUUUGAUGGAACAAAAAGCAAAUAGAAUGUUCAGAGAGAACAGAUAACCAAAAUGAGAGAAGCUCCGUAGCUUUAUUGUCCAUCCAUGGAUGAGGAAUCCUCCAUUUCUUGAGAAGCUAUAUGGAUGGGGAACAUUGACCACAGAAAAGCCGAAUAUUCCUACGUAAAAUCAAUAAAGCCAUGGCUUAUGAUAAAUCCUCCGAUCAGAUAACGAUGUGGAUUAAUCAAGAAUUAGCAGCCAAAGCAGCAUGGAUUAGUGCAGAUCAUCUCAUCCUUACAGCUGGAUCAACCAGCAAUGUGCCUGGAUGCCUGGCUCAGUAGCAUAUCUCUUAAUGCAUGCAUGGCUGAUCCAGUUGUUAGCUUUCCGAUUGAUAUCUUAAUGCUAGGCAGUGGGAGAACAACUCCUAAACAAAACAAUGUUAUCCCCGUCUUAUCUGCCCCAAACAUGCUACACAAAAUUGGGUAAUGCCUGUCCCCAUCAUGGACGACUAGCACGCACUCUCUGCUCAAAUCUUUUCCACUUUAUCAGUGGAUCGAAGAUUCCGAUUGAGCAGAGGAAAGCAGCAGCAGCAGCCUGUAGUUUGCACGACAGGAGAUAAUGCAAAAUAGCCCCCUGCAUGGAUUCGAUGAGCUAGAAUACUGGUGUUAGAGAUAGGAUAACAAUGAUUAAAGUUCCAGGCCACUUCGCCCAAUCCAAAGCUUCAUCUCCACCAUUAAACAAGCUUUAUAAUUAGUUCCCAGAUUUGGCAGUUGACACAGCUUCUUUCCUGGUCUUGGACAAAUCAUAUAUGGUAAGACAAAUGUGUACUGUAUAUCUUAACAGUUAGAUAAGGAAACUAGCAAUGGAGUCCAUGGUCAUCAUCACUCCAGUGGGGUUCUUAUACUAGUUAGGUCAUUUUCUUGAUGUGAUAAAUUAAUUUAAUUAUCAGACAAAUAUCAAGUCUGUAGCAGACUAGGUGGUUAAUUUGGUUCAACCUCCACUCGUGCAAAGCUAAUAAAAACUUUUUUCUUUCUUCAAUGAGAGGCAAGAAAACCUUGCUCCAAAAGAGAAGAAAGUUUGGUAAAACCCAAUGUUUAAGCUAAACCUUCUCAAAUAGCACUCCUUCGCUUAAGAAUUAAGCAAAGUGAAGCUAUAGCUACCAUAAUCUCCUCGUGGUCCCUGUUUCUUUGAAUUCAUAUAGUAGUGGUAGAUAACUCAACACGCAGGUAGCGUACGUGCAGUGUGCAUGCAUGCGGAUUGCACGUGCGGGAGUUACUAGUAGAAAGUUCGCUUGGGCCCUCGCGUGUGAUAUGUGACGUCGCGGUGGCAACUUCUGACCGUUGAACACUUGAACUAUUGGUAAGUCUGUUGCUUACAGUUGCAGUGAAUUGAAGCAAACAUUCUCUGCUCGUAUAAUAUGAACUUUCCACUUCUACAGUUUGCUCCUGUUAGUUGUAGGAAAGUUAAAGACUUCUUUUAAAGAAAAAUGAGGUGAAGUUUUGCCAAGUGAAGUUCUUCUGAUAAUUUUCAAACAUGCAUGUAGCUCUGCAGAAUUUACAGAGAAAAAAUGCCCCGUUUUGGAGUUUAAGUACCAGCUUUCCCUACCAGACACAUGGACUUUGGCGAUCUCGUAGGCUUGUAAAUAUUAGGACAACACUCCUACUAGAAAAACAACUUUUCGUCCACUCCCUUAGUACCGGUCCUAUAGAGCCGGUACUAAUAUUAGGAUUAGUACCGAGUUCAAUUGAGAUCUUUUAAGUACCGGGUAGUGUUACGAUACUAAAAGAUCUUAUAUAUUCAUAGCAUGUAUAAAAUAUAUUCAUAGCAUGUAUAAAAUAUACUGAGGUGCCAUGUUCUAUCGAUGAUUAUAGCCAAUCAAGUUACCACUAAAGUCCAAGCUACACGAUCCAGAAGGCGACUGCAAGUAGCAUCACUUUUUUCUGUGGUUCCCCGUCCAAUAACAUGUCCACAUCACACACCACAGAAGCAUAUUUAUAGUGGGCGCCUGUGUAAGUUUCUUUCCCUGUGUGUGAGCUGAGCUCCGAUCCAUCUCGGUAGCUACUAGCCUACUACCUAUCCCGCCAUCCCGGUCGGUAGCAAUACUGCAAUACCACUACCACCACAGUGGGGUUUGUGCUCUUGUGGACACACUGGCCUCCACCCAUCCCUCUCACGUCUCGCCAUCCGCAGCAAAGGCCACAGGACAGAUUCGGGCCGAUUUAUAGCCACACCAUGGCCAGGAAGUGCUCCCACUGUGGCAACUACGGCCACAACUCCAGGACCUGCGGCUUGGGAAACAGCAGGGAAACCAUGCUCUGCCAAGGCGGCGGCGACAACGGCGGCGGUGUCGGAGGCGGAAGCAGAAGCGGUGGCGGUACCAGCGGACUGAGGCUCUUCGGAGUGCAGGUCCAUGCUGGCGGCGGCGGUGCGGGCUCGGCGGCGGCGUCGAUGAAGAAGAGCUACAGCAUGGACUGCCUGCAGCUCGCGGCUCCUGGCUGCUCCAUCGUCUCGCCGUCGUCGUCGUCCUCGUCGUCGCUGCUGCUGUCCAUUGAAGAGGGCUUGGAGAGGGCGGCGGCCACCAACGGCUACCUGUCCGAUGGAAAUGCCAGAGUUGUGGCGGAGAGGAAGAAAGGUACGUCAAGACACAGAGCAAAUUUGCAGGUUGCCUUUUAAUUUGGUCUGAACUCUGAACAAAUGCAUAAUUUAGAUGCCUGUUUUUUUUUCUAUGAAAAAAGGGAGAGGAGAUUUGUUGUCUUUGAAAUUCAGAAACCUUUUUGUGUACCUAAUUUCAUUCUCUUAUUAUAUUCAUCAGUCUGACCUAACAAAGUUGCAUUAUCUUUUUCUUAUAAAAAAACGUUGUGUUAUCUUCUGAUGCAGCAAGUAAUCAGGCACCUAAGAGAUAUUUCCUUUUCUUUGACUAAAUCAAUGAACAAGAACAACUUGUCAUCCUGAAACCAUUGAAUAAUUGUUCUGUUGGUAACCAGACUACAGCUGACGAUGUUUCUAAACAAAUAUAACAAUAACAACAUCUGUGCACAUGAACACGCGUGACAGGCGUCCCAUGGAGCGAGGAGGAGCACAGGCAGUUCCUCGCCGGCCUGGAGAAGCUGGGCAAGGGCGAUUGGCGAGGCAUCUCCAGGAACUACGUCACGACGAGGACCCCGACGCAGGUCGCCAGCCAUGCCCAGAAGUUCUUCCUCAGGCAGAGCAGCAUGGGGAAGAAGAAGCGCCGCUCCAGCCUCUUUGACAUGGUAGGAAUUUCAUAUUUUUCAUGCACUACAAGUGUAGCCGUCCUGCCACGCAAGAACGUUUUUUGAUUGCCUGAAUUGUGAGUUCUUGGAUUUGUUAGCCAAUUAAUCGGUCUCCGGUGACUCCAUGACGCAACAGGUUCCCAUUUGCGAGAACAGUUCGAGCAUUUCCGAUCCGCCAAGCAGCGAGGGCGCCUCCACUUCCCUGUCGCUGAACGUGUCGCGCCAUGAACAGAGCUCCGAGAGGACGACGGCCUUCGACCUGAAUUCUACGGAGGAAGACGACGGCAGGGCCGACGUAUCGUCGGCGUCAGGUGCAGGGACCAGACCGUUCCCGGCAGCAGCAGCAGCUCCGCCACCGACGGAGCUGCAGCCUCCUCAUGGCCACGGGCACGGGCACGGGCACGGCCACCACCACUGCUCCCCGUUGGAGCUGGAGCUGGGCAUGUCCCUGUCCACCCCAUUCAUCGGAACAUGACGCGCCGCUGUCACCGUCGUCCUAGUCAUCGUCAUGGACUCGCGCAGGCCGCGCCAAGUUUCAUCAGCGCAUGUUGCUGCCAUGGCCGGGCGCGCCUGCCGCGUCAGAUAUCUCUACCAAAUGGAGAUGAUGAGGCGCUAGGUAAAUGCUAUUCGUGAAAGCAUUGUGCAAGAACUAACUGUGGAUACCGUACCGUGUAAUCAGCAUCGGUUCUGCUCCUGUACCAUGACACGUUCCUUGUUCAUAAUUCCCAUGCGCGCAAGGCAUGAAAUUUGCCAGGUUUUGUACAGGCUACAUAUAGUAAGGCUACAUAUAGUAUGUUGACACAAACCAAAGGCCGAGAUCGAACUUCUCGGUUGUAUGCAUCGAUCCAAUUUGUCUUCCUUGUUCGUCGAUUUUUUUUUUGUUUUCCUGCGUGCUGCCUACGUACACCGCUUCUCUGUAGUCAUUCCCAUCUCUACACCGCUUCUCUUGUCGCAUCGCACAUAUUCAUUCCUUUUCCACUUAACGGCCACAAAUCCAUGAUCCCCUGCCUUCACCAACACCCAACUGGCCAACCGGCUCUUGCAGCGCCACUGCCAAUCGUCGCUACCAAUAACAACCAGGUGUCCUACCCCCACCGCUAUCCUCGCCACCACUAUAUAUGGUGCCGGGGGCUAUUAUUCCAUUGCAUAGCUACGCUAUUGGAAGAUGAUUUGUCAUGGACCCCUCUCUCCUUUCAAACAACAGAAAUACACAGCCUACCAGACUGCCCGGCCAGCCCAGUUCGACCUAGCGACCUGAUUUGCAGUUUUGCACGACCCACACGUCUGCAAUCCCGAUUGCUCUUCAUCGCAAACUCACUGCCUCUCCGACCACAGAGUCGAAGACAAUGCCAUUGACCACUGACACCGCGAUAGAUCUUUGGGGGGGGGGGGGGGGGGGGGGGGGGGGGGGGCGUGGCGGCGAGGGGGAGUAGGCAAUGAUGGUAAGCGAACACGGGAUGCUAGCAACAAUGAGGAAGAAGUAUGGAAUAUGGAGAAAGGGGAAAAUGAGAAAAUUAAAAAAAAAGAAUAGAAGAACUAGAAAAAGAAAAAUGAACUAUGACGACAAAGAGUGUCGACAUCUAGUGUGUGACAAUAGGAAAGAGAAGAAAGCAGAGAGCUGGCGAUCGACUCGGAUGCAUGAGGAAGAAAACACAAGGGGUCGAUAUGGUUGUGUGACGAAAUUGACUAUGAUAGUGUAAGCGAUGUAUAAUUUCAGUGUCCUAUCUGUUGUUCAUUGCCAUCAUUGAGAUGACAAUCGCAUCGACUAUUUUCUACGGCCCAGGAGUCACAAAAUCCCCUUAACCCCUGCUUGAACCGUAAUCAUGAGCUCGCUGGUGCUAGAUUUCGCUGGAGGUCGUUAACAAUGCAGCAGAGGUGGUUAAAACUAACAUUUUAGCGCGCCAGCAUUUCAGCAUUGAGGCUAGCUUAUAUACGAGGCACAUUAAAUCACAAGAAUCACUGUUCCUGCCCGCGCCUGUCUGGUGUCCGUGUCUACCGUGAAAGGCAUUGGUCACUCAUGCUUCCACAGGCUAUGACAAGGGAGCGAUUCAAUUCAGAUGGCAACGGCCAGCAGCAUCAUGUGGUGCCCUGCGUCUUAUUCUCGUAUCACAUCAUUUCGGCUGGACCUGCGGCGGCGAUACCUUCCAGAUCCGCGAUAUGGUUGUGCUCCGGCCGGCCGUACGGCCAAACGCGUGCUGUCCAGGUUCAUCCAUGGAGCCGCAUCGUCAGGGGUCUGCACGGCGCCAAGCUGCCGACGCCCAACAGGUUGCAUCAAGUACGUGCCCAAUUGGUGGGUUGCCUUCGGCCCUGCGCCGUUCAUUUCACGUAGCACCUUGACACCUGGGGUCCCGAGUGGGGACGGAGCGCCACGCCAACCAAGUUGCAGAGUGGUUUCAUGCCCAAUUUGCCAAUUGGGCUUGCUAGCUGCCGGAUCCUUGUCACACGGAUCGAUGACGCGUCUGUUGCUGCGCAACUGAGGUAGGAUCACAGAUUCACAGGAGUAUCUCCUCCUCGAUCUUGUUUGUCGUUCAUGGCACAGCACUCUGCUAUACGUGGAAACAGUGACGCGAACUCUUCAUGAAAAACGUGCAACGAAAGGAAACCACUUAACCCGAACGCCCCCGCGCCGCUCCUCCUCGGGGUGACUCGGGCGUCACCCUAGCGACCGGCACCGCCGUCCCAUCCAGCGCCGCUUCUCCUCCUCGCCAUCGCUCGAGCGGCAGCUGGAAACCUGCGCAGCCACAAGGAAGGCGGCAGCGGGGCUCCACCAACCUCCUCUCCUUUCCUCCCCCUCACGCUCUUCUUGGUGGCUGGCCUCGCCCAUGGCGGCGGCGGUUGGCUCCAGCCGUGCGCGGGUGGAUCCAUCCUGUGGUUGGCUGGAUCCGCACCCUCGAACGCUGGAUCUGCUACCCCAAGGCUUCGGCGAGUCGGGGCAUGCGUCAUCAGCUGCUUCUUCCUAUGGUGGCGACAGACUCCGGCUACGGCGGCGCGGUGGCGCCGCCGGUAGCCGGCGCACGAUGUUGCCCGGCAAGGGCAGCGUCCGCGGUGUGGCUCGGCUGCGGUGGCUGUUUCUUCCCGGCUGCGACGACGUCCGUGGCUGGCACACGGCGACUGCUCUUCCUGGAGCAGCGGUGGUGCCCGCGGGCAGCGCCGGCCGUGGGUCCAAGGCGCGUACGGCCCAAGGCCCUGCAGUUGGGGCUGCGACCGGGCACUCCAGCGGUAUCGCGGCCUGCGCCUGUGGUGGACGGGUUCCAAGCUGCCAGCAUCUAUUCGUUCUAGCGAGGUGGAUGGUGUGUCGGCGGCGCCGCGGUGGCGUGACCGACAAUAGUUUGCUCGGGCGUAUGCCAACGUCACCGUGGUGACGUCGUUGGCUGCGAUCGUGCGGAGGCUCACCAGUAGCGCCAUGGUGGUGAGGCUGGAUGCACCGGCCGUCUCUUUACACCGCGGUGACAAUGUGGGUGAAAACCCAUCCCUCCUUGGGACGGCGUCGAUGGUGCCAUUGGCAUCAUGUCCUUCCUGAAUGAAGGCGACGUCGGGCAUCUUGGGCGCGGAUCUUGGCUCCUGUUCGGGGCUAACGACAAGGAUGCCGGUCUUCCCUGUCGGAUGAGGUGGGUGAAAACCCAUUCCAGUUUAGGCUGGCAUCGACAAUGUUUCCGACAUCAUGACCUUCUUGAAGACGAUGUCAAGUAGUUCCGGCAAGGAGGCUUGAUUCAGCGGCGGCUGCUUCCGAGAGGAUGCUCUUCUUUCUUUUCCUUUCUUUCUCUUUUCCUUUUAUUAAAAAAAAGAAACAGUCUUUGGCGUCGGUUGUGUGGUGGCUCAUGUCAACGUCCCAAUCUGACCGGGCAGAGUUUGUGGAGGCUCAGGUCGAUGUCCCAUUUUGAUCAGGCGAAGCUUAGUGGAGGCUUGUGUCGAUGUCCCAAUCUGACCGGGUGGAGUUGUUCGCUGGCAGCAGUUCCGUCGCGACGGGCUGACGGCAGGGUGUAGGAUGGCAAACUUGACGGGGGUUGCCUAACUCAUGUGGAUGCGAUCAUAGUUGUGGCGGCGGCCAUGGGUUGCCACAUGUUUGUCGAGUUGGCUGCUUGCAGCGGACCACAACGGCUGGCAUUGCUUAGCAGCUAUUAGUGCGGUGUGGGACUGCGUUGGAGGAUGGCGCUUGCAACAACGACAUCGUGGGACAACUAGAUUUGCAGUGGACUGCGGUGGGUUGCUCAGCUAUGCUGGGUCACAGUAACACCUCGGGUGUUAAUCUUAGGCAUUGCAUUUGUUGAAGUUCUUUAAUUUGUUGCUUAGUGUGCAAAUCCAACUUUGUGAAGUAACUUAAAUGUGUGUUAUGCAACUGUGGCUCCUGUUAAUUUAUUUAAAUACUAGAUGCAAAGUGAUGAAUUUAAAGUAUUUUUGUAUAAUUUUUUGAUGAUUUUUUCUUCUGUUAAAAAUUCAGUGAUGUUUCAAUUUUAACUAUUUUUCUUUUUAAUUUGUGUGUAAACCUGAUCUGGAGGUGAUUCAAGUUUCUUCAUGUUCUUUGUGAUUUUAUCUUUAUAUUGAAUAUUUUGGGGCAAAUUUUGGGCACCUGUAGCUGGCUUGUUUGAAGGGGGAAGUUUAAUUCAAAAUAUGCCGCUGGGCUCGCCUGUCACCUCCUCCUUUCUCCCUCUUCCUGCUGCCCAUGCCGUGCCCAUGCCCCCGGCUGCUCACUCGUCCUCGGCCGUCCUCGUGCCGCUGCUCGGCCGUCCUUGUGUCAUCCUCAUCCACUGCUCUUGGUCCUCGACGACUUCUUCGGCCUUAUAUCCUCUCCAAGCCAGCCGGCCUCCCCUACCUUCUCCCUUUUUCUCCUUUAUUCUUCCUCGAGUCAAAGGCGAACUGGGCCAAGCUCCCUUGACUCGCCGGCCGAUUCCUUCCAAACCCCUCCACCAUUCCUAAAUCACCGCCACCUACAGCUCACACACCCUCUCUAAUCCCUCCUCCACCACGUAUUGCCCUGCGCCUUGGCUCCUAGCGCCGGGGAUUUAAGAUCCCGCGGCCGCCAUUGCCGCCGGCCCAAGCUCGGGCGCCACCACCGAACACCACCUCCCUAGCCUCCUCGUCCCUAACAAGCCGCCAAAAUGGGGUCAUGGUGAAGCCCCCGUGCUCCUAAACCCAUCACCGGCCUUGGUGUAGUUCUUUUAUGCACUUACUCGACUAGCGACUGUGUUGUCAUGUUUGCAACUUAUUCACUAGCUUGCAUUGCAUCGUGUCAUACAUGUAGAUUCCAUAGCUGAGGACAUGGUGUCUCGGAUCGUGGCUGAACAAGGAGAGAAGGGCCAGAUGGAGCAGUCCGAAGCCCCAGCCCAAGGUCGCAAGGGCCCAAGGCCUUGUUAGUACUAGCACUGAGCAGUAGAAAGGCAAGCCCCGGAGCAUAACUCCUAUUUCAACUUAUGCACUUAAUAUUUAAUUAUGUAUUGUACAUUUAUGUUAUAGGAGUUGUAUGAAACCCUAGAUGCAUGAUCCAUAGGGUCCCAUGAGUAUACUAGUAUGUGUAGGUCAUUAGUACUGCCAUGCUUAAUUAGGAUUUGGUAAAAGUCGAGUGAUUUUUUGUCACUCGCGAGAUAUAGGACCUUUGAUACUUGUGGCAAAUGUUACUUGAGAAUGAAUCACUGAGGAAUGAAAAAUGGAGAUGGAGAUCAGGCGGAGAUGAGUUGGUUAAGGAAAUGAGAUGGAUGGAAAGUAAGCCUCCGCCUGUGUCGGUUAAGGCCUGAACCGUUGUUGGUUGUGCUGAUCGAGUUUGAACAGUACUAAUCACAUGCCGUAGUAGGAGGUAGUUGAAACCGGUAAACCUACGUACCUUCAUGCGCGCUAGUAGAUUGAGCUUGAUGUCGUUAUCUUAUUCAUGUAUUAGUUGGUAACUAACUCAUGUUUGACCGUGGGAGGUAUCGGUGGGGGCUAGUACUUGAGAGUCAUGGGGCAGUUCAAAUGAUGUCUUUCACGCAGAGAAUGGUUGCCAUGCACUGCUUGACGGUGUAUGUGAUUAGGUUUACUUUGUAAGGGAUAAAAAUUGGAUCGAUUCGCCGUACCUGUCAGGGAUAGAUCCUCAGCACCCUCAAGGAAGGAAGAAGACAGACUCCUACUAGAAUUUCUCUAUAAUCCUACUAGGACUUAUACCAUGUAAUCCUACUAGAGCUCCUCCUUGUAACCGACUAGUAAUCCUACCCCCUGGAGUAUAAAGGAGGGCAGGGGUACUUAGAUCAGCAGCUCAGAACCAACAUCAAUAGCCAACAAUCAGGCUACACAACACCCAAGCGCAGGGCGCAAUAUACAACACCCCAAGCAGGAUGUAGGGUAUUAUGCUACUCUGGCGGUCCGAACCUGUAUAAAUCUGUGUCUUGUGUUUUCGCUUUUACCUUCGAGUUCCAGGUCCAGUGAUCCCCCACCAACCAAUCUACUACCUCGGGAUACCCCUCGGUAGGUUGCUGGGUAUAAAACACCGACAAUUCUCUCGGAUAAGAGAACCUUGAUCACUUAGUCACUCGUACUAAUGGAAAUGAAAUGGUGGCGGUACGAUAUAUGUUGAUUGUUGGUUAAACUUGUAUACAAUGCUUGCUCUAGAUGUUUAUGCAAAUUUAGUUGGUACUUGUUUCAUUUAAACUUAAGAUAAAAUGUUGAAAGUAAAGAUCUACUUGUAGUAAUCUCUUUUUGGCAAAAGAAAUCCAGCGAAUCAGAAUCCUUGCAUGCUAGGAGUCGGUUAAGUAUAUACCAUAGUCAGGUAAGACUUGCUGAGUAUUAGUAUACUCAGGGUUGUUGUCGUAACCCUAUUUGAGGUGGGGUUGCUUCCCUAUGAUGGCACAUCGGUGGGUUCAAUGUGUUGUCAUCUGUUCAUCGUCUAGCUUAGCUUUACCUUUGGUUUUGAAGUUUCUUUCCACUGUUCAUUCAAAAGCUCUGUAUCAUUGUGUAUUUGAACUCUGUUUGUAAAGCUAAGUACUGUACAUUAAUUUAUGUAAACCCCGUGAUGUUUGUAUUAUUUCUGCUCAUCUUCGUGUGAGACUUGUGGUGUAUUGUUUCAAUCGAGAUAUUCAGUGGCUGAAUCGGGCUUGACCCGAUAGACUCUCAGAUUACACCGUUUUAAGUGGGUAUUGACCGGAUUAACCAUUAAGAGGAUGGUUAGUGCACUUAAGCCAGUUUAAUUUGGGCGGUUCUGCCACAACUACUCCGGUGCGGUAGGCUAUGUGCGUGGGUUGAGCAACAAGGUGAAGUCGACCUGCGGCGGCAGCUUGGCUGUUUGAUGGAGAUCUUGGGUAGCGGGGAAAAUCCUAACAACGACAAAAGAAAUGGAUUCGUGACAUGGAGUUUUCUUGAGGCGGCAAGAGCAAGGAGGAGUCCAGCGGUGGAUGUGGCGAGGCUCCCGUGCGUUGUGUUUUCAUGGCGGCGAUUGCGAGGCAGCCUAUGAGAAGUCCGAAUCUAGUAGUAUCACUUUGUCGGGAGGAGUGUGAUGUUGCAGUGGCACUACGGCGAAGGGUCCUGCAUGGCGGUAGCCUUCUCGGUGUGGUGCGGGUGCGAUCUGAUUCUCUCGAUUCCCUGUCAACGUGGAGUCACGCCUAAAGGUUCGGCAACUACAUGAGCGUGAGAUUGGGUGCCGCGAUAAAGGCAUGUUGAGUGGAGUGGUGCGAUCAUGUUGAUGUCCCAAUCCAACCGGUCGGGUUUUGCAGUCUUGAGUUGAGUGGUUCCUGCGUUGACGUCCCAAUCCAACCAGGCGAGUCAAGCUGUUUUUUUUCCUUUCUUUUCUUUUCCUGCCUAUAGCCUCCCAGGGUUAUAGUAUUGUAUUUUUUCUGCUAUAUCAAUAAAAACUCGCACUAUCACGUGCGGUUCGUUAAAAAAAAUGAAAAACGUGCAAAGCACAUUCUUGAAAAAAAACAGUGAUGUGAGCAGGCAAGAGGUAGGGGACGUUUGGCGCUUAUCAAGCGGAGAGGGGAGUGCUGUGUCUGUCUCAAGAUUCCAGUGUGGUAGCUAGAAGAGGAUAUGAUACGGAUAGAUGACAUAUUUUCUUUCCCUUUCUUUUGGGUUGAUCGGUACAUGCCACCUGGCAGCAAAUAGUAUGGUUUCUGCCUGCAAAAGAAGCAUCGUGCUUGCAUAAUCAGCACUCCCACCCAUCAAAAGCCAUGGGAUGGAAAAGGUUAAAAAGCCUCAAGAGAAUAUCAACUUUUAUGACACACUUCUAUCCAUCGUAUACGUCCUCCCGGCACGCUGCACGUGUGCGCCUGAAAUAGGCAUGCGGUGCAUGCAUGAGCAAGAACAACAGACAAGGAGGCGGCGGAGGAACUAGGAAGAGGGGCUGGGUCGGGGGACCAUCACGUCGGCUGCAAGGGGUCGGGGGCCGGCGCUCCAACCGAGUGUCCGAGUUCAUGGACGGCGGCCGUCCUCUUCCUCCUCCGGUCCCAGCUCACAGUUGCUCCACCGCUAGCGUGCUCAUCCUUGUUCCUGGUUCAUCCGUUACAUGAAGAAACCAAACAAAGCACGUAAUGGCUUAAAUCGUUUACGUUUACAGGUCUCAUCCAUUCCCUUUACGUUAACGUUUACACCCAAAAAAAAGAAAAAAAGGGCACCAUAUUUUUUUUCUUUUUUUUUGGGUGAUAGGUACAUGCCACUUGGCAGCCAAUAGUGCGAUUUUUUACUGCAAAAGAAGCAUCGUGCUUGCUAGAUUCAGUGGAUAAUCAGCACUCCACCCAUCAAAAGACAUGGGAUAGAUGGAAAAGGAUAAAGAAGCCAAGAGAGAACUGACCUUUCAUCCGGAUGCUUUUGUCCCGGUUAAUUUUGAACCCGGUACUAAAGGACUUUUAGUCCUAGGUCAAAAAUGAGCCACCGAAGAUCACAUAUGGGAGGGGCUUUAGUCCCAGUUGUAAAUACCAGCCCCCUUAGUCCCGGUUGUAACAGCUAGAAAAUAUUGCACUGACGCACCCCUUUUGUCCCAGUUGGAAAGCUCCCUUGUCCCGGUUGGAAUUUCCAACCGGGACUAAAGAUUUAAUCGCAUUGGACUAAAGAUUUAAUCCCGGUUGGUAAUUUUAACGGGAUAGGGGGGAGGGCUUUUGUCCCGGUUGGAAACACCAACCGGGACAAAACACCAACCGGGGUUCGCAGGCACGCACGCGCACAUAGGCAACUCUUUCUUUUCUUCUCCACCUUGUCUCCUCUCCUCCUCCUCUCUCUUUCCUAUUUCUUGUGCACACAGCUAGCAGCUCCUCCUCCUCUUCCUUUCUUCUUCCACCUCCUCCUCUCCCUUUCUUUUCCGGGCGGGCGGGCGGGCGGCCAGCUGGCUCCUCUCCCUACUCCUCCCCCUCUUCUAGGCGGGCGGGCGGGGCGGGCGCGAGCGGCGGGCGGGGGUGGUCGGGGUGAGCGCGGGCGGCGGCGGCCGGCGGGCAGGCGGGUGGUCCAUUUGUCUUUAUUUUUUUUAACUUUAGUUCCGGUUGGUUUUACCAAUGGGACUAAAGGAGGUCUUUAGUCCCGGGUGAAUGACUCGAGACUAAAGAACCCCUUUUGUCUCGAAAAUUUAGUCCCGGAUGUCUUUAGUCCCGGGUGAAUGAUCCGGGAUUAAAGAACCUCCUUUUAUCUCGAAAAUUUAGUCCCGGAAGGAUUUUUGGGAUCUUUGACCCCUACCAACUAGGACUAAAGGUCCAUUUUUCACGAGUGGGUAUCAACUUUUAUGGGUAUCAACUUUUAUGAAACACUUCUAUCCAUCGCAGAUACGGGGAACUUGCUUGCGGCUACUAUCAGAAUAUCGCUUGCUAUGUGUCUCGAGAUGGCGCCCUUUCUACUUCUCUUUCAGAUUUGAAAACUGAAUGUAUUUUGAUCCAACUAUGUGGACCAAUUGUUUCUUUUAAAAACCCCAUCCCUCCGCUUCUUUCCAUUACCUCCCUACUCCAUUAGGCAUCCAAAAAAUAUAUUAUUAGAGCUCAGUGAGACUCUCCAACAUCUAAUGUGUCUGGGAUGUAUGCUCCUCGAAAGAAAUCCUCUCACGAAUCCAGAUACAUGCGGACAACAACGUACGGGACCAAAGCAUCCUCAAUUCCUCAUCAUCGACAAACCUCUUGCUCGCAUGUGCAACCACCCCCCAUAAUCGUCAUGUAGCUCCAGAGAAAACCGAGAACGCCAAGCACGUGAGCUGAGCGCGGCACACACAGGUGUCCGGUACCCGGCCGCGCCGGCGAUGACUGGCCACGACAAACCCUAUCCUAUCCUUCCAGGAUCCUUCGUGUUCGUGCUCCCUGGCCUGCUGCCGAUCCCCGCCGGGGACCACGGGCCACGUACGCUGCUGCUGCGGGGGCGAGAUAAAAUUUGGACGCUGCGCAGGGCGCCUUUCCGCCGACGGCGACGCGCCAGCGACCCUGUCCGGCUGUCCCCCCUCCGCUCCCCUCUCCACCGUCCCUUCCACGUACGCGCGCGGGCGCGGCUGAUUUGGGCUGCCUCGUCGUUGUCCACGCGAGCGUUCGUGUCGUGACAUCUGCUUGGCGGGGCGCGCGCGCGCGCUGAUAGGCACCCGCGUGGACGCCGGCGACCCAGGCAAGAUACUGUCGGUGGCACCGGCUGCUUGGCUGCAGGCGCAGGAAAUAAGCGUGAUGGCGCCGUAGCCAUCGGCCGAGGUCGCUCUGGUGAGGUUCUUCGUGUGGAUCGGAUGCUUGGUUUUGGCAGCUGGGUCCUCGCACGUCGGAAUGCUUUUGGUUUCUGGCACUGGAUCAGGACCACCGUAUACGUGUUUCUUCAUUCUUGCUUCUCUUGUUUGCAGGUGUAUGUAUGUCUGGGAGUAGUGUACGUCUAUGCUGGCAGUGGCCAUGUACAGAUAUCGUGUUUCUGUACCAAAGGUACGUACCUAUAUUCACUGGAUCUGAGACAGAGACUCGCUCUGCUUUAUAUAAAGCAAAGCAGAGUACGGAGUACGCUGUUGUUACGACUUACGACACAGGAGUCAGAAAGUCAGGAAGACCAAUGCUAUGCUACAAAACUAAACGAUUUUGGCUAUAAUCCUGGACAGGAAGAAACCUAACCUCCCUCUAUGAAAAACAAAGAAGACAUUCCAGACGAAGUGCAACCGACCAUACAAGGUUUAACAAGAUCCUACUACAUACUGCAAAAAAAAAAACACUUCCCAUCCAACGAAGUAAACAAUGAUGCUUGCUGGCUUUUCUAAAAGUGAUGCUUGUUGCGCACUAUCAACAGCUGGUGCUUCAGCUGGCCUCUCGUCUUGUCGAUCCGAUGUUGUACUUUGCUCCUUUUGCAUAGCAGUUUCCAUCGCUGCAUAAUAAGCCAAAGCAGUCGGAACACCAAGAAACACACUCAUCAAUUGGUUAGAUUUAUCUCCCCAUGAUGCCAUUUAUCCAAAUUACAUAGAGCGUGAUGCCAUUUCAAAGCUCCUCUAAACAUAUCUUGCCUCAAACAAGAUGAACAAAACUUGCCUCAACUGAGAGCAUUGGGCGCCAUCGACAAACCCAGUUUAGCUAGUUCGUGAGCUACUUUAAUACAAUGAAAUUACUUGAGACUUGAGAGAAAGUAUUUGGGGCUCCUAGAUAAAGAGCAUCAGUAGGAGCAAAGUCAGACCAUUGGUCUGCAAUGCCUUCUUCAGAUUUAAUUCAGUGCAUCGGUCUUCAAGAUCUUCCUGUUCCUGCACCAGCUGCAAAAAAAAGUUUCUUAAGAUGAACUGAUGGACCUAUCUAAGAUCGAGCCAAGCCUAUGCAUACAAAAGUAGAAAGGAAAAAAAAUCUCGGUUUUCUGUCCUGAUUCACAUCAAUCGACAGUGACUUUCAAGGCUGAACCAUUAACUGCACAUAGUCAAACAGCAGAAAGUAAUACUACGAAACAACAUCUUGAAUUUGUUUGAAGGAGGACAACGACCAUAUAGCAGGAAUGGUUCAUUGAUAUGCUUCCAGUAUAUGCCUAGUGCCUGCCACUUUGGUUGUAAUUGUAAGCUGCAGAACAUGUUGCAUCUGACAUUUUGCAAAUCAUCUUCGUUGCUCUGUGACACCCUCUGUACGUCCUUCGGCCGUCAGCAGGGGUUAGAAUGCCUCGACCUGAAGAGCACUGAGACGCGACGUGCUGUUUCAAAUGAUCGGUCCUGACGUUGAUAUAUUAUGUUGGAAUGUAUGGGGUCUCAAUCAGCAAGCCCGUAGGGAUGUAGUUCACCAGUUUGUGGCCAACACAACGUGCGCCAUUGCAUGCUUCCAGGAAACCAAGCUUGCACAGAUAGAUGACUUCACUUCGUCUUACUUAGGUGGGUACAGGUUAAACAAAAACGCUUUCGCGCCGGCCACAGGAGCUUCAGGUACAAGAGGAGGACUGCUGAUAUUGUGGGAUGAGAGGGUAGUGCAGGUCUCACAGAUUGCUGUGGGGAUGUUUCAUUUAUCAGCCUCUAUUUCACUACAUGAUGGCGAAACAUUCAGACUGUCAAAUGUCUACGGACCAUCCAGUCAGGGGCAAAAGAGAGCCUUCUUACAAGAAAUGCUCACACUUAAGCCUCCCAGUGGGACAUCGUGGAUUAUAAUGGGCGAUUUUAAUCUCAUAUACAGAGCCGCGGAUAAGAACAAUUCUAGGCUAAAUACUAGACUGAUGAGUCUAUUUAGAGAGGCGAUCAGCGAUUGCGAGCUCAAGGAAAUUCCACUACAAAACCGCCGCUUCACAUGGAGCAAUUAGCAACAAAAUCCGACGCUUGUCCGACUCGACCGAGUGUUCUGUAAUACGGAAGGUGACGCCUUAUUUGCCUCCCAUACUCUACAUGCACUUUCAACAUCGCACUCGGAUCACUGCCCACUACUCCUCUCCAAUCAAAGUGGACCACAACGGCCAAAGACAUUCCGGUUCGAAGAGUUUUGGCCAAGAUUGCCACGCUUCAAGGAGGUAGUAACUGAAGCUUGGAGUAAGCUAUGCACUCAUCACGAGCCUUUUCAUCGCCUGUACUACAAGUUACAGGAUACUUCCCAAAUGCUUAGAGCCUGGAGCCACAACUUUUACCCGGAUGCCAAGAUGCAGCUUCUCAUGGCGUCUGAUGUCGUCCUUAGAUUGGAUAUGGCACAAGAACAUAGAGCCCUCACCAGGGAUGAAUUGAACUUGCGACGAAAACUUAAGCGAAGAAUCCUCGGCCUGGCGGUGGUUGAAAGGGUCAGACGGAAACAAGCAUCACGCAUUACGAACAUCAAAUUAGGUGAUGCUAAUACCAAAUACUUCCAUCGGAGGGUUAACGGAAGGAAGAAGAAAAACUACAUUCAGCGACUAAAGCAAGGGUCCAGUUGGGCUUUCAAUCACGAAGAAAAAGCAAACAUAAUUCAACACCACUUUGCUACGAUGAUGGGACCACCGGGACAACGAUCACAGGACGUUAACUGGGAUAGCAUAAAUCUCCCCAGUCUGGACCUCAGCUCCCUCGCCGAACCUUUCACGGAGGAGGAAAUUAAACGUGCAAUACUCGACAUACCAUCGGACAAGGUGCCCGGACCAGAUGGCUUCACCGGAGCAUUUUAUAAGGCCUGUUGGGAGAUUAUAAAGCGCGACGUCAUAAACGCAGCUAACGCUUUUCAUAACUUACAUUGCACGAGCCUGCCAUUAAUCAACACAUCCAACGUAGUGUUGUUGCCAAAAAAGGAUGGGGCCGAGGCAAUCCCUGACUUCCGACCGAUAAGUUUGAUACACUCAUUCAUCAAGAUUAUUACAAAGGUGCUCGCCAUGCGACUGGCCCCGCACAUGAAAAACAUUGUAUCACAUCGGCUUUCAUCAAGCAAAGGAGCAUCCACGAUAAUUUUAUGACAGUCAGGAACAUGGCGCGUCGCUACCAUCGACAACGAAUCCCAGCACUAUUCUUUAAGCUUGACAUCGCCAAAGCGUUUGAUUCGGUGCGAUGGGACUAUAUGCUAGAUUUACUUCAACGCUUGGGCUUCCCCAUUCGUUGGCGGGAUUGGAUCGCCUCUCUAUUCUACACAUCUUCAUCUAGGAUCCUUCUCAAUGGGGUCCCAAACAGCCCCAUCAAGCACAACAGGGGCCUACGGCAAGGAGAUCCUUUAUCUCCUUUACUUUUUGUGAUUGCAAUUGAACCACUACGAGCUUUGCUGGAACAGGCCACUGACAGAGGAUUCAUAUCCAAGCUGCGAGGCAGGUCCCUCAACUUCCGAACAUCCAUGUACGCCGACGACACGGCUAUUUUCCUAAACCCGACUAGGCAGGAUGUCAUUUCCUUAGCUAACCUACUCACUAGAUUUGGUGAAGUGUCGGGGUUGAGAACAAAUUUUGAGAAAUCUAGUGUGGUGCCUAUAAGAUGCGAAGGGCUUAAUAUGGACGACAUAUUUGGAGACAUUCCAGUCACACGGUCCUCCUUUCCGAUGCGAUAUCUUGGACUUCCACUAACGACGUCAAGGCUCAAGAGAGUACACUUCCAAUACGUUAUAGACAAGGCGACCUGCAAACUCACUGCAUGGAAUGCUAGGAACAUGACUAUGGCGGGCCGCCUAGCACUCACGAAAUCAGUAUUAACAUCACAGGCGGUAUACCUCCUGUCGGCAAUGGAGGCCCCCAAAGAGGUAAUGAAGGAAAUUGAUGCAAAGCGCAAGAAGUUCUUUUGGGCAGGGGCGGCGACAUUAACAGGGGGAAAAUGCAAAGUGAACUGGCAAAGGUCCGCCCGACCGACAAGACUGGGGGGAGCAGGUAUUUUAAACAUCUACAAGUUUGCAAGAGGACUGAGGCUCAGGUGGCUGUGGCAUGAGUGGAAAGCAGAAGAUAAGCUUUGGGUAGGCUCCGAGGUUCCGUGUAAUAACACGGAUAGGAAAUUAUUUGCGGCAUGUACACGUAUCGUCGUAGGCGAUGGAGCAAAGACUUCCUUCUGGAAUAGUGCCUGGGUUCAAGGCCAAAGGCCAAAGGACAUAGCGCCAAGUAUUUUCUCCAUUUCAAAAAGAAAGAACAGGAGUUUACGUGAUGCGCUUCACAACCGAACUUGGAUCCGAGACAUCAACAUACAUCACAGCAGUUUCUCGGUGCAACACUUCCGAGAAUACGUCCUUCUGUGGCAAGUCGUACAACAGGUAGCCCUACGCCCGGGUGUCCAAGAUGAAAUCACUUGGAAGUUUACUGCAGAUGGUAACUACUCCGCAAAAUCCGCUUACGCCGCACAGUUCAUUGGUUCGGCUUCCACCAACUUUGACAGCUUGAUAUGGAAAAUAUGGGCCCCUAGAAGCUGCAAAACCUUCUCCUGGCUCGCUAUCCAAAAUCGCCUUUGGACUGCUGACAGACUUCAGAAAAGGGGAUGGCCGAAUCCAGCUACCUGCCCACUAUGUCGGAGAUCACAAGAAUCGGCGCUACACCUUUUCGCCGAAUGCCGGGUUACAACAAGAAUCUGGGCCAUGGUGGCGGACUGGUUAUCGGCGCCAGCAAUCCACCCGAGGGCUUGGCAACAGGCCGAUACGCUGCACCACUGGUGGUCGAUGAGAGCAGGAGCAAAUUCCUGCUCCAAGAGAGGCAUGCGAACUUUGAUUAUGCUAGUUACAUGGACAAUUUGGAGGGAAAGGAAUAUGAGAAUAUUUAACAGCAAGGAGUCUUCUGUCAAUAUGAUUUUUGAGAGGAUCAAAGAUGAGGCCACCGUGUGGAUUAUGGCGGGAGCGAAACAUCUCUCCGCUCUAAUGGUGCGAUGCUGAUUGCGACUGAGUUCAUAGUGUUGCUUUAUUUUAUUUUAUACUUCUGGCACAAUUUUGCCUCAUGUCAUUUCAUUUUUGAUUCAUUGUACUUAUCCAGUCUGGAUUCCUCCUUUUUAAUAUAAUCGGCAGCUCUCCUGCCAGGUUCGUUUCAAAAAAAAAUGCCUAGUGCCUGCAGAUAAACAAAUGUGUCUGCCGAAUCAUGCCUUGUCCAGCGACAAUGAACGGGGAGGAACUUUUUCGCUAAGUCCAAAUCAUCCUUCAAAUCAAAAUCUUCUGGUACAGCGCGAGACUACCUGCUUGCAUCCCCAAUAGUCAACCAAAUCACGAUUUCUCUAACAGAGUAAUAGGUGGAAUCAUUGACUUUUUCACCUGCAGGCUCAUACUUUUCUCUGAAUAACAGCUACAAAUUCUACUCUUAACUUUAACGACUCUACUGAUACAUGCAUCAGUAUUAGUAUCACAGAAGAACCAUAAACAGCAACACAAUCUCAUGACUCCAUUAUCCUCCAUGGAUGCAGCUGCAGCUUUUUGCCUCCUGCUUAUUGUAGCCACUACAGCUUCCUGCUCCGUGUAUGCACAACAAACCAAUGUUGGCUGCACCACAAAAGAGAGGGAUGCACUGCUCUCGUUUAGAGCUGGCAUCACAAGUGAUCCACAGAAUCCCCUUGCCUCGUGGAGUGGCAAGGCCUGCUGCCAGUGGAGAGGUGUCGAGUGCAGCAACAACACGUGCCAUGUCAUCAAGGUUGACCUCUGCAACAAAUUCUUCCUAGAUGACCUCUUUGCUCCAUUUUAGUCUCCUAGUUUUCGCGGGAUGAACGGGAAGAUAAGUCACGGCUUGCUUACUCUGCGUCAUCUGAAGUACCUUGAUCUCAGUGGGAACCAUCUCGGGGGAGUAGGUAUACCCAUACCGAGUUUCCUGGGCUCCUUCCGGAGACUGAUAUAUCUCAACCUCUCUUGCAUGGAUUUUGAUGGUAUGGUGCCUCCUCAACUAGGAAAUCUUUCGAAACUGCAAUAUCUUGACCUUGAUAACACUUACUAUGAUUAUAGUGGUUAUGAUAAUGUUUUACAAAGUGAGGAUUUGUCAUGGUUACCACGUCUCCCUUUUCUAAGGUUUCUUGACAUGAGUGGUGUCAAUCUUAGUACCAUUGGCCAUUGGGUUCAAGUGGUUAUUAGCAUGCUUUCUAAUUUAAGGGCUCUCCAUCUUCGUCGGUGCAAACUUGUUUUUACAUACACACCUCUUGUGCAUCGGAACCUCACAUCACUUAAGAUGGUUGAUCUAACAAGUAACAUGAUUGCCAACUUGAAUCCCGCCUACUGGUUUUGGGAUGCUGACACCAUCAGGCACCUUGACCUAUCAUACAAUUGGGUUGUGGGUCCACUUCCAGACGCAGUAGGGAAUAUGACUUCCCUUCAAGUACUUCAUCUUGGAGGCAAUCAACUUAGUGAUAUGAAGGCAAAAACACUGAAAAAUCUAUGCAAUAUGAGAGAGUUCAUUGAGUUCAAAUAGAAUCAACCAAGAUAUUUCAGAAUUUUUGCGGGGGUUGCCUUCAUGUGCAUGGACUAAGUUGGAGUUGUUAGAUCUAACAUCAACAAAUAUCAGCGGGGGAAUUCCGAACUGGAUAAACCAAUGGACUAAUCUGAGCAUUAUUCAACUCUCCGCUAAUAGGCUUGUUGGAUCAGUACCUCUUGAAAUUGGUAUGCUCAGCAAGCUCAGUCAUCUGCAUCUAGAUUACAACCAGUUCAACGGCUCUAUUCUAGAGGAACAUCUAGCCGGUCUAGUGAAUUUGAAGGAAUUGGACUUGUCUUACAACUCACUGCACAUGACGAUCAGGCCAAAUUGAACUAGUCCGUUUAAAUUGAAACUAGCUUAUUUCCCAGGUUGUAAAAUGGGGCAUCAAUUUCCUUUGUGGAUUCAAGGGCAGAGGGAUGUUAGUUUUCUUGACAUUUCUGAUGCGGGCAUAGUUGAUUAUCUCCCAGAAUGGUUUUGGAGUGUUUUUUCAAAUGUUGAAUACCUUAACAUCUCUUGCAACCAAAUUAGUGGAAGGUUACCAAGGUCACUAGAUUUAUGUCGUCAGCUGAGAUAUUUGACCCCAAUUCAAACAACCUCACAGGUACCCUACCACAGUUACCUAAGCAUUUGGUAGAACUUGACAUCUCCAAAAACUCUUUAUCAGGGCCAUUACCACGAAAAAUUAUCGCCCAAAACCUUACAGACUUAUUGCUUUCUGACAACUGUAUCAGUGGUGCUAUUCCAAGUUACAUUUGUCAAUUGCCAUUCUUGUCAGUUUUGGAUCUUGCAAAGAAUCAUCUCGAAUGACAGCUUCCCUUGUGUUCGAAACAAUCAUUCAUUUCAGCUCUGAUCUUGUACGAUAACCUUCUGUCAGGCAAAUUUCCUUCAGUUUUGCAGAGCUGCCCUGAUUUGAUCCUACUUGAUCUUGCGGACAACAAAUAUAUUGGAGAGUUACCAACAUGGAUAGCAAUUACCAAAACUGUCUUAUCUCCAGUUGCGGAAUAUUGGGGGCGCUUGGUUCCCCGCCAAGCUUCGCCACCGCCUAACUUACGGCACGCCACCAGAUAUUGGCUGCUGCUUGGUUCAGACCAUAACUGCGGCAGCCACCAGUCUCUGCAGCACAAAACCACGCCGCAGUGUGGCGCCGAUUUUUGGCGCCGGGCGUGGCAGGCUGUGGCUGCAAGCCAAACAGCCCCAUUAAUAUGUUCUCAGGAUCUAUUCCAGUUAAGCUCAUGGAGCUUGGGUACCUAGAAUUCUUGGACCUUGCAUAUAACAGAAUAUCAGGCUCCAUACCUCAUUCGUUGGCCAACUUGAAAGCAAUGACCCAGGAUCAGGGUCACCAACAAACAUUUAAAAACCCUUUAUACUGGGGAUAUGGAAGGCCAGCUCCCCUGAAACAAUUCAUUUCCCAAAUAUGAUGACAGCCUGGAAGUGUUAUUGAAAGGCCAAUAUCUUAAUUACACUGGAAGCAUCAUAUACAUGGUUGCCCUUGAUCUCUCCACAACAAUUUAGUAGGGAAGAUCCCAGAUGAAAUAACAUAUCUUGUUGGGCUGAUGGGCUUGAACAUUUCCCAUAAUCAGUUGUCUGGUGAGAUUCCAGUGAAGCUUGGCCAACUACAAUCAAUGGAAUCUCUUGAUCUGUCAUGGAAUGAACUCUCUGACGAAAUUCCUUCCAGUCUCUCAGGCAUGACAAUGUUAAGCAAGCUGAACCUGUCGUACAAUAAUCUCUCAGGAAGAAUACCCUCAGGGAAUCAGCUGCAAACACUAACCGAUCCAGCCUCUUCGUACAUUGGCAACAACUAUCUAUGCGGGCCUCCUGUUUCCAGGAACUGCUCAGCGCCCGAGGUGGCUGGAGGUCAUCAUGAUGGGCAUCAAUCAGAUUCAGAUGUGAGGUAUUUCUAUGUUGGGAUGGCUGUAGGAUUUGUUUUGGGACUUUGGGUGGUCUUUGUUACAUUCUUGUUUGCUAGGACGUGGAGAGCUGCUUAUUUUCAGAUGUUUGACAACCUACUGUGCGGACUAGAAAUUUCUGUGGCCGCAAGUUUUAGAAGGUGCCUAGGAAAACUGUAUUGAAAAUAAGGAUAAGAAUUACUACCUAUGUCUAAUUGCAUCAAUUUUGUAUGUACAUGAUGAAAAUUGGCAAUGAAGUUAAUUUUUAGUUCCACACUAUAUACUGCUUUAUAAAACAAAUGUAAGAUCUUCAAAAUUGCUGUCUUACUGUAGAGCAUGAAGGUAAGCAUUCCAUCAAGCAUGUGGUGGGCGUGCGGGGAGCGGUCAAGAAGACAUGAUUGAAUCAAGGAAGGAAAACAAAAUUGAACAAUCUAUCCCGUAUAAAGUUUGCACCUUGUCUGUUUGCUUACGCUGUUGCGGCAUCACCAGCUCAUCGCCACACCCUCCUGCUGCCUGGAUCACCCCGUCGGCGCUGUGUGUCUUGCCGCUUGCCCUACUCCGCAUCUUGCCGCCGGGAGUGAUGUUCAGCCGCAGGGAGCCGCAUGUUUGGAAUUUGGGCACCGGAUUGGGCCUCACGUACACUGAGCUCGGUUGGGAGCAAUAUUUGACAAACGAGUGGUUCAGCCCAAGACAUAAGUAUCUCACUAUGCGUAUUGUAUCUAUUUUCCGCAAGAAAUUUUCUUAUACAUCUUGGAGCGUUUGAGAUUUGUGCAAAUGUAAUAGACGCUUUGGACGGUGCAUGCGGACAUCCGCAAUUGAAGCGGGAGCGGCGCAACAGGCAUGCAUGUGGGGCCUUGCUCCAAGGUCCCGCUGAUUACCUAUUUCUUGGAUCAGCAGACUAAAAGGGCCUGUUUGGGAGCACUUCACUUCACCAAAAAUCACUUCACUCCACCAACUCUAAAAAAAUCGCAUCCAAACGUGUUUUGCUCCAGCAAUUCCGGCUCCAGGAAAAACGUGGAGCGGGGGUAGAUCCACGUUUUUGGUGGAGUACCUCAAGGGGUGCUCCAAAAACCUUGAAUACAGACCUCGUCGUGGAGUUCGUAGUUAUUUACCCACCAUGCCAUCCGUUACACAGUACCCCUUCGAUUCCGGUCAAAAGAAAAAAGAACACCAGACCCAUCCGCUACUCAUUUGCCUGCGCCCGACCUUGCGCCUCCGUCGAUCCGCCGAUCGUCACCGGCGCUCUUCCGGCGAGAUGGACGGGGACAGAGGCGCCGGUCUGGGCGGCGCGACGAGGGAGCCCCCCGCCGACCUGGGCAGCGCGCCGAGGGCGGCCCCUGCCGGCCUGGCCGCCGCGCCGAGGGGCGGCCCGGCCGUUGUGGGCGGCGUGACCGGCGCGAUGAGGGAGGCACCCGCCAUUCGGGGCAGCGCGGCGACGGGCGUCCCCGCCGUUCUGGGCCGCGCGGCGAGGGGCGACCUCGUGCAGGCGGUAGGUCGUGUCCAAGAGGUUACUCCUUCUCCUACUAUUUUGUUAGCAAACAAAAGAAUUCCACCAGCAAAGAAACAAAGAACUGGAACAGCACAAGUUAUUCAGGAACAAGUAACCAAGAUUGCUGAGUCCGCUUCCUCUUUUACAUCUAAAAAAUUGGGUGAAGUAACUGUGCAACAAGUCAUGGACCUUGUGUUGGAAUGUGGGGCAGGAUAUGAUACAGAUGAGCAUUAUAUCGCCACGGAGUUGUUUGUGAAGGAGGACCAACGGGAAAUGUUCAUGACCCUGCCAACAAACGAGAUUAGAUUUAAUUGGCUUCGCAGAAAGUACAAUGCCAAGUAUGGCAAUUGAGGAAUUGUGUCGUUUGAAUAAUUCUUUUUUUGUUCGUAUGAACCAUUGUUAUUGAAACUGAAGUGUUAUUUCAAUUUUUACUUACUUGUUGGACUGAAGUAUUGUCAUUCAACCUUAAGUGUUAUUUUAAUGCCAAGUACUUAUUUUAUUUUCUAUGUCAUAUGAUCUCUUAUCUGUAGGAAAGUGAGAGCGAUAGUGAUGACUCUAAUGAUGAAAGCGAGGUCUUUUGGAAUCUUAUGUUGGGUGCUGCAGAAAUUGCACAAAUAUAUGCUGACCUCUACCUUGUUAAAAACCCACCAAGGACAUCUGGUGUAAGUGGAACAAGAUGGCUGCUAGAGACAAUGAAAAGUCCUGGAGAAUGUCAUAGACAACUACGUAUGAACAAUGAAAUCUUCUUGGAUCUUCAUGGUGUGUUGGUGGGAAAGUAUGGGCUGCGACCUUCUAUGCACAUUAGCACAAAAGAGAUGCUUGCUAUGUUCCUAUACAUAUGUGCUGGAAACGAGUCUAAUAGGAGAGCUCACAAUAGAUUUAAGCAUUCUGGCGAAACUAGUAGUAGGAAAUUUGAUGAGGUGCUAAAUGCUUUGAUGGCUAUGGCGAAAGAUUUCAUUCGACCAAAAAAACUUCCCCACUGUCCAUAAAAGGAUAAGAGAUGAUAAACGUGCAUAUCCACAUUUCAAAGAUUGCAUUGGUGCACUUGAUGGCACUCAUGUCCGUGUUGCUCUUUCACCUGAUGAGCAAGUGAGAUAUAUUGGAAAGACCGGGGUAGCCACUCAAAAUGUACUAGCAGUAUGCGACUUUGACAUACGUUUCACUUAUGUUUCCACGGGACAACCUGGAGCUAUGCAUGAUACAAGUGUGUUGUACAAUGCACUCAGAGUGGAUGAAGAAUUUUUUCCACAUACAUGUGUUCAAUUUGAUAUAUGAAUGUGAUUAACAUGUAGCAUUAAUCCAUAACUCAUAUUAUUUUUAUGUGAAUAUAGGCAAAUACUAUGUUGUGGAUGCGGAAUAUCCUAAUCGUCCUGGCUACCUCGCUCCUUACAAGGGUGAAAGGUAUCAUUUACCGGAAUGGCAAAGAGGUAUUGAACCUAAGACGCCUAUGGAAAGGUUCAAUCGGGUUCACUCAUCUAUCCACAAUGUGAUUGAGCGAUCUUUUGGACUAUUAAAAAUGAAGUGGCAAAUUCUUUGGAAGAUGCCACCAUAUCCCAUGUACAAGCAAAAGAUGAUUGUUGUGGCUACCAUGAUCCUUCACAAUUUCAUUCGUGAGCAUGGAGGUCAAGAUAAAGACUUUGCUCGGUUUGAUCGUGAUCCUAAUUUUGUUCCUACAAUACCGGAAAGAUAUAACAAAUAUGCAGUUUCGCAAGCGGCAUCAGAUGGGUCAACUUCCGCACUCAACACGCCAACUAUGGAUGUCUUUCGUGAUGAGCUAGCCACCGCACUCUCUCUUGCUUGGAACUAGUUUGUAAUGAAAAGAUUGAUUUUGUACCGUAUUUGUUGCGACCUUUCAUUCGGUACAACGUUAUUUGGUUCAAUAUUUUUUGCCAUGGGAAAAAACACUGGAGAAAGUACUAUACUGAUGUAUUGUAGCGCUAUUUUACUGUAGCAGCGGAAAAAAAAUCUCAAAAACUCCCAGGAACGGUACUUACGGCUUGGUUUUACUCUAGCAGCGAAAAAAAUGUAAAACAUGCUAAAAACUCAACCGAUCCAACCACCAAGGGAAAAAUAGAAUAUUCCCACCAAAAACUCAUAUUCCUGAAGCUGGAGCAGAACAAUAUGCCAAACACGUUCAACAACUCCAUAUUUUCCUGGAGUUGGUGGAGUGGAGCUGCAAAAGUGUGGAGCUGGUGGAGUGGAGCUGAUUUCUAAAAGGUGGAGUGCUGCCAAACACCCCCUAGCACAACCAUAAUAAAAGGUGCAUUGAGAGCUUUAAGCAGCGGAGUGUGGCAUAGCUGCUCAUUCCACCGACAAAAGAGGACGCAGCACUGGGAGCUCUAAACCUGUAUAAAUAAAAUUAAGGCUGAGUACACUUAUGGUUGGUACUCAGUAAAUUCUAGCAUUGAAAUUAUAUUGUAUGCAGGGAUGAUUAAGGAAAGGGUUUGGUUUAAACUAAAAAACUUAUUUUAAUGCAGGAUGAGGUAAGUUUUGGAAGAAGGAAGACGAAGUAAGCAUAUUUUAGGUUGUUGGCCCUGGAUUGGGAAUCUUACUUCCCCUACCAAUUCCUAAGUUUUAAAGAGCAUCGGAGGCCGUUAGAGUCCUUCUAGGCCGGUUUACGUCUUAUUCCAAGAUUGCUCUCUUAGGCCUCGGUCCCGUCUCACUAGCACACCAUCUAUAAACACAUGAUUACUGAUCAACGGAAACUUUAACUAUGUGGGCUCGUGACCGUGAGCGUCGGCUAUCUGGAUAGAUUAUAACUCUGCAGAGUUUGUACACUUUACCUAUAUGUUGGUCUAAGGCGGUACAGACCUACGAGAUCCAUACCCACCCAUGUCUAUCUCUAGGCAGCAUUCCCUAGAUCCAUCCACGGAUAUACUGGGAUCUAAACAGGGGCCACUAUCAUCCACUACACGGAUAUCAUUCCAGAAAAGUGCGCACAAAAUAAACAGGGCCUCUGCCCUCAAGGUCUCGGAUCCUCUCAGUCAACCCAUGCUGACAAGAUCUGGUACUAUGCGAAGGUCCUGCUCUAGCAUAUCCGUUGCCCACCGUGACCCCUUGGGAUAGAUUUCUAGGUGUUGACACCAGUUUUUGAUCAGAGUCAACCGCUACGAAUACGGUUCUGAGAGCUGAUGAAGGAGAGAGAAAAGGCCUGUUGAUGAUGUCACAUUGACCAAGACCAGUUGUAGCUGACCAGGAUUCUAGAAGCCGACGGCUAGGAGGAAUCCGAUCUGAAGCAAAUUCGACUACAACAAAUAAGGGAAAGUGUGGAGAUUUAUCUUUAGUAGUUUUUAGAUUAGUUGUAAUAGUCAUGUCGUAGUGAUUGGGAGUUCUAGCUUGCUCCAGGGUAUAAAUAUAAACCCGUGAGCCUUGUAAUGAAUAAUCAUCAAUCAAUCAAUACAACCUUUCGGCACCACGCUGCCAAAACGCUGGGAGUAGGAGUAGAGUAGAUUCGAUGAGUUCCUUCUUGUGCGCACGGCUGCAUUGGCUUCGAUCUCAGGCGAGGUUGUAAGUACCGUCAACCGGUCAUUACGGCCUCUAUCAGAACUUUCUAAGUUAAGUCUUAUAUUCGGAUAUUCGGUUGUGUGGCUAGCUAUCGAGUUAUUUUAGAUUCCAAGUAGAACUUUCUAGGCUUUGUCCAAUAUUCUGCUUGUCUUCGAUGUUGCUCACAGUUAUCGAGCCGUUUGGUUUUAUUAACUUGCAUCGUAUCGAUCUCUUAGUUUUAUAAAGCGCUCUUAGUUAUUGAAUGGCUUAGAUCUGGUUAAGUUGUCUUCAUCGCUCUUGUCUUCGAUGUUGCUCACAGUUAUCGAGUUGUUUGGUUUUAUUAACUUACAUCGUAUCGAUCUCUUAAUUUUAUCAAGCGCUCUCAGUUAUCGAACGGCUUAAAUUUGGUUAAGUUGUCUUCAUCGCUCCUUGACCUUGUUUAAGUGUUCGCCAGUUAUCUGAUUGUAUCGGCUGGUUAGAUCUUCCAAGCUUUUAUUGCUUCAUAUAUGCUAGGUUCGAUAGAUCUUUACCCCUACCCCUCUGUAGUGUCGGCCUCCAUGGCUCUCACCCCCAACGUUAGUAGUACCGCAACCUCUUAUAGAAUAUACCAUUCUUUCUGGCCCGUACGGUUCUGCUAAGUGGUGCAUGGACCUAAGCUGAACCUCUGAUAAAAAUUCAUCCACAACCUUCCCAGUCCUAUGACCUUCAUCCAACAUUGCACGUGCCUUUUGCCAUCGGUCCACAAAGUAGGUGUUGAAUUUUUCGAAGGAGUAUUCAAUAAUUCCAGAAACGGGCCUACUUGGGAUGCCUUUGAAAAUAGUAUUUAGUGAUUCCGAGUAGUUCAUGGUCAUAAUACCCCAAUGCAUCCCUCCCUCAUCGAAAGUGUGCGCCCAUUUAUUCUUAUCCUCCAUUUCACCCUUCAAUCAUUCUUUUACGUCAUCGUUCAAGUCCUUCACUAGAUCUUCUAACUUCCACUAAAUUUUGUCUCUGUAUGCACCUUGCAUAAAGUCUUCAAUUUUCCAAUCACGCGGUCAUUCUUCUGCCGACGCGACAUGUUGGCAGCAAAGUGCCUCGUGCACCACCUAUGCACAAGCAGUGGAAAACCAUCCAUGUGGUUGUUCGCACAAUUUAGGAACCCAUGGUGCCUAUUUGAGAUCAUACAUACUUGGCGUUAAGAUCCAAGUACAUGUCGCCGAACCAGUUUUAUAAACCAUGACCAACUCUUAUUGUUCUCACUCUCCGUCAAUGUAAAAGCAAGAGGCACAAGCUACUGUUCUGGAUCUAUACCAACUGCCAUCAGUAGUGUACCCUUAUACUUUCCGGUUAAGAAUGUACCGUCCACAAGUAUCACAGGACGACAAUGUUGAAAUGCCUCACUACACUGUGGGAAGCACCAAAAUAUCCUUUGGAGCAUGUGCUUCAAAACUCCAUUGUCAGGAUGCAUCAUGCUACAUGAGUCAAUGAACCAUUUAACCCCAGGAUUGUAGUAGGCUAUAGCUGUGAGUACCCUAGGAAUCAUGCCAUACGACUCCUUCCAGUCCCCCCAAAGUAGGGCAACGGCGUGUUGCUUCUCCCGCCAAACCUUUGAAUACUUGACACAGUAUCCACUAAAGGCGAAGAUGGACUCCACGAGGGAUGGCACCGAUGUCUUGCUGUCUUUACGGAUAAUGCCUAGGAUACGCCGUCCAAGGUACUUUGCUGUGCACUGCGUGCACUCGCUUCGGCUAUGAAGAAUGACAAGUAUGCGGUUGCACAACAUUUGAAAUCCUCCAUUGUCCGGUGCUUGAUAUUAGCCGAGACCAUACACGCCAAUGGCAUCCUUGCUUGCACAUCACAUUGUACCUUAAGUUCUUGUCGGAGUGACCUGCGCUGAAAGGUCUAUGUAACCUCACUACGUAGUCAGUCAAGAAAAACUUCAGGUCCUCAAGACUUUUGAACUUCAUUCCCUUCUUAAUCACUGGACUCUCACUAAAGGGUAUCCCUUUGGAAUUAACCAUACUAGAUUCACAUAUGGCUUUGUGGACCAUACUUAUGUCCUUAUCAUUGGGAACGGAUGGCAGUUCGACAUCACAUUCUUUCAACAACCGCAACUCGUUCUGGGUAUAAGAAAAACAUUCAUCCAUAUGACCAAUGUCUUCUACAUCAUGCACGGUUGCGGUGUCGAACUGCGGUCCAUCCUCUUCAUAUUGUAACUCCUCGUCCUCAUUUUCAUGCCCACUACUUUGAGAUGGUGACUCCUCCUUUGCCUCGACACCUACUACCCCAUUUUCCUCGAAUUCACUAUCUUCGGAACCCAUAGAUAUAUUAUCAUCAUCUAUAUUUGUUUCAUCCCUCUCAAAAGUGUCAUUGGAAAAAUCAUCAUUGGCAAUGGCUAAGUCAAAAGCAGGUUCUAUUUCACCUAACACGUGUUGCAAAAUUUCUAACUCCUAGGUACCAUUACGAUUCACUACCGCCACUUCAUCCCUCAAGACAAUAUUUGGACCAGGAAUACAAACAAUUUCAACUACAACCUCCAAGCAUGCAACAUUUGCUUCAUGAACUACAUCCUUAUAGUGCUUCCAAUUUAAAUUGGAUGCCAAGUUCAUGAGAACAUAAUGAGUUCUAGCUUUCCCACAAUCAAAAUGGCCUCUCAAUGUCAUCUCAUCCACUCUACAUCCAUACUUCCUCAUUGCACGGUCAACUAAAUCAGUAAAACUUCGAGGACCAUCGAAGAAUUCAACUGCCUCAUUCAUAUUCUCUAACUCCGUAUUUUGUUUCACAAUACCACCAUAAAAAAAACGAACUAAACGAUCCAUCUACAAAAUACAAACAUUUCACCAUGUCAUGUACACUACACAUCGCACAUAUUGGACAUAUCAAUUGGACACAUUCCACAUAUUGGACACAUUGAAAAAAAAUACACAUGUCAUGUACACUACACAAUUGGAUGAAUAUAUACCUAAAUUGAAGCAUUCAACAAGUUCUACACGUCAAUAUCGCGGGCACAGACUCUAUUGCGUUUGAACUACGCAUCAUCUAACACAUAACAACAAUUGGAUGAAUAUAUACCUAAAUCGAAGCAUUCAACAAGUUCUACACGUCAAUAUCGUGGGCGGGAGACUCUAUUGCGUUUGAACUAUGCAUCAUCUAACACAUAACAAUAUUGCAUUUCAUCCAAAAUUGAAAUCAUCAACCUAACCCUAGGUCACCUAAACAUCCUCCAAUCUACCAAAUGCAACGGUAAAACACGGGAAAAAGUAGGGGGAUACCUUCCACACGACGUAGGGAUAAAUUUCCACAACUUUCCCUAAGCCAAAUUGCUGGAGAUUUGGGGGAUUUGGGGGUGGGGCGGCGGCCGGAAGUGUGGAGGAGCUCGGGUGCGGGAUGUUCUGGAGGAGGAGGAAUAGAGGAGGGAGGAAGGAGGGACCGGCGCGCGUGUGUAGGAGAGGAGCUGCCGCGCCAGGCGGGCUGGCGCGACAAGCGUCCGCCCACGUCAGCGCCUAGCUAGCCCGGCGCUGACCCGCCUGCCGCGCCGCGCCAGUGUGGCGGCAUUUGCCGCACCAGUGCAUGUGGCGCGGUACAGGCUUCCUACCGCGCCUAGCGGGCUGGCGCGGGCAAAAGGAUCACCCAAUGCAAAUAAUCUUCCAGACAAAUUUAAAAAUAGGUUAAAAAUGAAAAAAUUCGCUCCCUGAAAUGCAGUUCUAGGCAUGGGUUUAGCUAUUAUCACUUAACCAUUUAACAUCUCUCAGUAUUGGCGUAAGAGUUCUGAAAUCAUUCUGUUUCUUAGGCUAGUCUCUUCUGUAGCAUACUACUGCUCAAGACAGAAUGGAUUUUUCUUCUUCUAUUUAUUGCUAAAUAUCUGUGUAAUCCUGGCAUAUUAAUGGUCAUGCUUUGCUUUAUCAAAAUUGAGAUUAUUAUGUGUUACAUAGUAGCUAGAUGGCAGUAGGCAUCUACAUCAUUUCUGAAUGAUAUAUUUGCUUGUGUAAUUCCUUAACCAACUUUCUGUCCCCUACAAUGACUGCAAUUAUCUUAGAAGCAUAAUACGUAAGAACUUGGAAACAAUAUAAUGAACAAACGACUCAUUUUGUUGAUAUACAAUUUUACGCAUGGUGAUAUAUACUUGUAAUUCUUGAAGGAUCCUACUUAUACUUUGAUUGAAGUUCUUUGGAAGCUGAAAUGUUCUGUGGUGUUAGACAGAGGACUAGUUAUUUGAUGGCUACUCAAUUGUGGUUUUGGUAAGAGCUCUAAUACAAUUUCGAACUCAUAAUAUGGAUCAUCUGAUGCUAAGAAUCUACUACUGUUGAAGAAGAGUAGUACCAUCUUUCAUCUGCAAUUGCAAUACUGCUUUGAUAGAGGGGAGUGGCAGUGAUGUUAUGGCCACAAUUUGAGUUUUAGGACAGGAAGCAGAGGCUGAUGAUAAUGAUUUGCUAUGAAGAAGCAUAGCCUGUCUUAAGGAUUUUUUUAUCGGAGGCCUUGGAUGUAGUACAAUGGAUUCUCGUUUAUUACCAGAAUAACUUUAUGGGAUUUGUAUAAAUUGAUGUGCGAAGAGGGGGAACCUAUUAUACUUUCAUGGUGGUACUGUGCUUGGCAACAAAAGCAAGUGAAUAUUGAAGCAGUAAAAUGUUAGUGUGUCUAGAUGCAUAAUAAUAUUUAUGGACUUAGAAAAAUUAAAACGACCUACAAUUUGGAAUGGAGAGAGCAGUAGCUUAGUACCAUCCAUGUGCAGUAAUCGGUAAACCUUGAUUUGCCUACUGGCAUUUGUUUCAGAUGAGAGAUGAUAUUGAUAUCGAGCUAGAGGAAAACCUUGCAGGAGAGGUUGAUGAGAACCUACUCACCAAGCGCAUAGCAGGGGCCGUCGUCAAAUGCUAGACUGCUGAAUUCUAAUGGCCCAUUGCGUGUUCUGUAGUUCAUUUGACUGCUGGAUAUCAAAGGUGAUAUCGUUUCUUUUUCUAGAUCUGCUGGUGAACGUACUGAUAUACAUCUUGUGCUUGCUCUGCUGACUCUACGUUCAACGCUCACUCUCUCAACAGAAUCACGGAAUAUACUGAAUUAGCGGACGCAGAUGCAUGUCUAGUUGUUGUUAAAUCUUGGUGAAACAGAGCACACAGUAGGUUUAUAAUCCACACAAGAGAUGCAUCAACAGGAGACAAAGUAAGAGACCAAAUAGUGGAAUGAAGCUUUUUGGUUGUAAAGACUGGUGUAGAUCACAAACGAAAAUGACAUGGAUUAGUUCCAGCCUUCCAGGGAACCAACUUCAGACGGAAAUGAGCUGUUUCCUCUCAUUGCCUCCACCUUGUUCCUGCUGGCUGCUGCCUCGCCCAUUCAGGUCUCUGAGGCCCAGAUGAUGGCCACAUGAGGGGAGCAGAGCAUCAGUCACAGUCAAUGUAAUGCGAUCCAAAUCUGGGGACAGUCCAACCGAUGUUCAAGGAAAUGGCGGAACGAUUGAAUGGCGGGUGGCGGCAAGACACAAUCCAGAAGGAUGCAAGACAUAAGCCAAAUGCCGCAGCUUUUUGAACAGAGGAAUGCAGGACACAAUCCAGAAGUGAGGCAGAUACCACGUUCAGACAAGAUUGCUUAUUUUUAGCACGUGUCACAUCAAAUAUUUAAGUACUAAUUAGAAGUAUUAAACGUAGACUAUUUACAAAACCCAUUACAUAAGUGGAGGCUAAACGGUGAGACGAAUCUAUUAAGCCUAAUUAAUUCAUCAUUAGCAAAUAUUUACUGUAGCAACACAUUAUCAAAUCAUGGAUUAAUUAGGUUUAAUAGAUUCGUCUCGCCGUUUAGCCUCCACUUAUAUAAUGGAUUUUGUAAAUAGUCUACGUUUAAUAUCCUAAUUAGUAUCUAAACAUUCGAUGUAACGGGUGCUAAAAAUAAGCAGGAGAAACCAAACCAGGCCGUAUACUUCUCACACCCGUCAUGUUAUCACCUUGACUUAUACACAUUUCUAAACAAUUAGGUUGAAGAGGAUGCCUGCAAAGGUCAACAUUGCUGACAUGCACAAAACACAAACAUUCAGUGCCCCAGAAGCAUGCAUAAAAAGCAGCCACUGGUGUCUGAAGAAUGUAUAAAAGGAAACAAUCAUGGACAGAUUAAAGCUUACAAUAAAACACGUUCGCUUAACUCGUGAGUGCCAAAUUUGUUAGAUCCAUGUCCAUGGCUUUCCACAUUUUUUUUAGAAAAUGAAAAAAAUAUACGAACUCUGCAACUAUCUAUUAUUGCUUCUCUAUCCAUUCUUGAUGAAAAUAUCCAAAGCCUCCAAAGCUUUUGUCGCCAAAUGACGAUCUCCCUUGUAUCCUCAUACUACAACGAAUCGCAGCCAAUAUGUUUUCUGAAGGUAUCCUCCAGCCAAUAUGUUUUCUGAAGGUAUCCUCCAAAACGACGCAUAUAGGUAGGAAUCUAACGUCGAAAAAUGCCGCUGAUGUGGUCUAGUAGAACUGAGAUCAAGUUUUCACUCAAAGGUAGCCAACAGUUGUGAGGGAGGAGAGCCCAAAAGGACACCACCAGGAAGGUGUGUGGCGCCGUCAUCACCACCAACACAAAGUUGGGCAUGGCUUUCGCCGGAUGCUCCCCACACCAACCACAGCCACACCUCAUCGUGUCACGCUUUGCACAAAUACCGGAGAUACGAGAACCUCCUAGCUGUAUCCGGCCUUCAGCGAUACACUUGCUUGCUGUUGGCUCACUCCAGCACCCCAUGGUUCCAUAUAAACGCAAAGUGGCACUCAAUAUGUGGUGAGCGCCGGUAUGCAUCCAAUGAAAAGCGACCAUUCGCAGGAUGGUCCGGUGCCACAUGCAGGGGAAAGCAAAAGGCAAAAGGCUUUCCACAUGAAUGUUUGAUUGUCCUUGAGAGGCUCCAGUCAUUCUUAAAAAGCAAAAGGCAAAUCCUCUUUAACUCUCCUCAGGGAAAAAAAAUUAUAAAUGAGAAAUCUAUCAACAGAACCCAGUUUCUUCGGGAAUCAAUAUACUGUGAAAGAUGAGUCCAUUUUUCAUAAAUUUCUGAUCCAAAGUUGAUCUCUUUCCAAUAUGUAAAUGGAUAUAUGUAUCGGCAAAUUUUUGAAUUACAUGAAACUAGUAAACAACGAUUCGAGUCAACUCUAUAGAAUUUCAUGUUUGUUGUAAGCAGCUUAUAUUUUACCACAUGAAAGUAAUACUGCUCUGGAUUUUAAUAGGGCAAAUCUUUUCAAGACUUAACAGUGUAGAUCAUCUGCUGCCAGCUGCAGGCAUAGUAGAUAAAAGCUGGCCCAAUGAAAUAUGCCACAAAAACACAAUUAAAUUCAUGUAAUCAUGUAGAGGAUGCAUCAUUUUAUAUAUACCUAAUAUUCUGAGGACAAUUUCAACACACAGAACCCUAAGUAUAGCUAUUUUUUAAUAAUGUAAGUAUAGUUAUUGGCUUGCACGUUAUUUUUGAAGAGAAGAAAAAGAAUCCUUGUUCUCUUAGGAGCAAGGACCUUACAGGGAGCCACAAAAGAGACAAUAACAGAACAGCUAAAGAUGACGCCACAGUGAACACAAGAAAUGGAACCAUGUUCAGAAGUUAUUAUACCACUAUUGAGAAGUGCUAACUAAAGGUAAACAAACAAACAGUGCAAAUGAUAGAGUUAUGAGAUUGACUAGAGACUAGAACUUAAUCAGACCCUUCAGCACGAUGCAGCUUCAAAGAACAUGGUCUCAUGACAUCUGGCAUGCUGAUUUAAUAGUCAAAAGAAAAUAUGAAGUUAAUUUUACUAGCUUCUUCUCUUCCUCCUCACAUAAUUGACGGCCUGUUAUGCACUUCAUGUACCAUCUUCUAGUGCAAGCCUCCCAUAGUUACGAACUAAACAAGGAGGCCAUGCCAUAACAUAAGGGUGUCCACCACUAUUAUAUGGCCUCUGAAACAGAUUCUCCAGUUUCAUUGUUUCCAGGCAGAGGGACAAAAACCAACUUGGGUUCUGGGGAUCAUAGACAUUCUUUGAAGUUGCCAAGUAUGCAAAGCCAUCCCUGACUGCCACGACAAGCAGCUCAUUAUAGUUGCCCUUCAGUUUCCUUAGAACUCCAUCAAGCUGUGUAUCUAAUGGGGUGGCCCUGUACAGCAUCCACUUCUCAACGCCAUCACUAUCCGUUCUUCGCAACAUCACACCAAUUGUGAAGUCAACAGCAUAGACAAUACAACGCUCACCACUGUUUGUUUCACCAACAUCGAAGCUACAGCACCGAUUCUUCAGGAAUUGGGGGAGCUCCUCGACCGAGAACCUCAUUGUCGCCGUGUUCAGGGUGAUGAUAUACUUGUGAUUCUUAUAAACCCAGUACAAGAACCCAUUGGAUUGCAUGUUGCCGUUCAGAAGCCACACUUUUGAACGCCGUGGCCGCCCUGGGACAUCCACCCAUGGGUGAAUUUUCCACUCCCCGGUGUCAGAGGAGAAGACAGUAGCCCGCACCCUGGACUCGUCGUGGGUAAGAGCCACCACUCGGAACGACGUGGGGUCUUCGUCGGAGCAGAGCAAGCAGGCGCUGCGCUCAACGGGGGUUCCACGGCAACCUUCAGAGGCGUCCUUGGGACUGUCAUCAAAGAACCGUUGGCUCUGUCGUGCCAAUGGAUUCACAACCGCCAUUGCCUGCGCACUGAACUGGUCACCGUUACAGAGGAGGACGUACCCGCCGCGGCAGUCGAGGAUAUCCCAGGAGUGGGCCUUGUCAGGGUGCUCCUGGAUGGAUGUCAGGAAGAAGUCGCCACCGCGGAGGGCGGCGCCCAGGUCCCGGUCGCGGCGGCGGGCGGGGACGAAGGAGGGGAACGCCGGGAGCAGUGGGUCUUGGACGGCGGUGGGGGGGCCGAAGAAGAGACCGAGGAGGGGCGCUGGGUGGAGCUCGCGGAAUCGGCGGCGGAAGGCCGGGGAGGAGGCCACCGCGCGGCACCACGGCCGGCAAGCGAGGGCGGCGCGGACGAGCGUCGCGAGGGAGGGGAGGCGGAGGAAGAUCCGGAGCAGGAGGUCGUCGGUGAGGGAGUGGAUGGUGGUGCUGCUGGUGGUAGUGGGGCUUGAUUUCUUCCGGCGCUUCGCCGGCGGCAGCUGGGCUGGAGACCUCUCGCCAGCCAUAGCGACGGCGCGGCGGAGAUGCGGAAUGGCUAGCACAAACCUCCGUUGGCGAUUGUUGGAGAUUUUACCCCUUUGGCCUUUCUUUUUGAGUAAAUCGCAUCCGUAGUACAAGAACUAUGCAGUGCGUGCAAAUUGAUCCAGGAACAUGUAAUCUGAUUAAUCCGAUGUAAAACUUUGAUGCAUAUACGGUCCAAAUCCCACCACGACGUGUAUUUGUUCACGGUUGACCGUGAGGUGGCAGGCUAGGUCGUGGCUGGCUCAUCGGAAACAUGGGUUUUGUUUAGCUGGCUAAUUUGGAAGAUGUAAAAUUAUUAUGGUACACUGUAGCGUUUCGUUUGUAUUUGUGAAUUAUUGUCCAAAUAUUAACUAAUUAUGCUCAAAAGAUUCGUCUCGCAAAGUACAACAAAACUGUGCAAUUAGUUUUUAAUUUCGUCUACAUUUAGUACUCCAUACAUGUACGGCAAGUUUGAUGUGAUGGGAAUCUUCUUUUUGCAUAGUAUCAAAGUUGGGAGUUGAGGGGUACCUAAACAUGACCAUGGUUUGACAUAUCUUACAUCAUUCAAGGAAACGGUAAACAUGAAACACUGCAUAAUUGAUUGCAUAUUAUGACAAAUGAUCACAUUCGUACUGAAAAAGCCCUCAACAUCAUCAUUAGAACUCAACAUUUAGUUUGGAGAACCAGACAAGUUCAAAAUAAAUGUUGAGUUCCAUGGUGGAAGCGCAACAAAACACACAUCGGAGUCGUAGAGCAGAAUAUUAGGGCCAAGAUCAGAAGGAAACUAACUCUAUUCAGGAGGAUCGCGUGUUGGGUCGUCGACCAUGAGGUCCGAUUACUUAGGGCGCGUUUGGUUCGUUUCCGUCGCUAGCCUGGCUUGCAUCUGGUAUGCAAGCUGAGCUGGGCCAGGCUGAUUGCAUCCAGGUGAUCAAUGUUUGGUUACAGGACGAAAGUAGACAGGCUGAGCAGAGCACAUGUUUGGUUGCAUGUAUGAGCAGAGAACUGGCGAAUAGAGAAGAGAAAUCAGUUGUUUGGUUGGCUGCAUGUCACACCCGGUUUUAAAGGUAAAACCGAAUGCUACCUAUAUGUAUGCCAGGAUCAAGUUUCAUACAUAUAGUGACAUCAUAAGUGAAUAACAGCAACAGUAUCACGUAAAAAGAUACAAAUAAAGACUUACAAACCAUCAGAGAUAUACAGCUUAAUAUGGAAACGGAGGCUCCAAACUUCACAGGCAAACGACUGGGGGUUGCGUACGCCUAGAACUCAGCAUCAUCUUCGGAACAACUUCAUAGAAACUUCUUCUUCUGAGCAAUGUUGUUUAUAGCAAGAGUGAGCACUUGUCGUACUCAGCAAGUGUGAGAAGAAUAUGAAUGCAAGGGUUAAACAAGGAAAGGCUGACUGGUUGACUGCAUUAAGCAUUUUUAGUUGGUCAAAUUUUAUUAGCACCUGAUUACUAAGGUAUAAGUAUAUACCAACCCACAAUUAAUAGAAACAUAAACAUAAGCCAUAAGCAUAUGGCACAACCAUAACCAUACCAUAAAACACGAUUUAAGUCCAUCUUCAAGUAUAUUAAUCAUGUGAGGGUCCAGGCCGCUCUUAACUGUGAGCACGGCUGAUCGAUCAGUUUUACACUCUGCAGAGGGCGUACAUCUUUACCCACAAGUCGCGUAAAAGUUCAAAAGAACUUUAGACCCAACCACGCUUGUGCUGAUCAGGCACAAUACCACACUUCCGAGGUGUGAUUGCAUAGGGACGCUACGAGGCCUUUACAAAGAUUCAUUAGUCAGUGGUAACCCGCUAAGGUUUCGGUGUCUGGCGUGCACCACCCAUCCCAGGUAAAAUGCAACGACUCAGUCCCCCCUCUUGCCUCAUCACGAGUAAGGUCACCCCAGACUAAGGUUUCUAAUUAAUCAGCCAAGACCAGAGCCAUUUAGUCUUGUGGUAGCACUGUUUUCCUGGGUGGUUCUCCAUGUUCCAAUUAACCACAGUGAUCUUGUAUUAAAGGAAGGUGUAGCAUAAAUAAAAUAGGUUCAUCAUCUUUGUUCAUUAGAACCACCAUAACCCAAGUAUAGCAGCUAAGCAUAGCUACCCAACAGAAAAGUAAACCCAGGUUGGCAAGGAAUAAUCAUAAAAACUAGGCAAACCUUAAUAGGACCCAUCAAAUUUAAUGCAAGCAUAUGCAAUAGUGAUUAAACAAAGUUAUUAGGACAAAAGCACAAGGACACACUUGCCUUUCUUCAGCGACAAGUUCCUUCUUACUGCUCUUCGGCUCUUGCUCUCUUGAAACUCUUAAUCUUCAAAGCUUUCGAACAGCGAUCCUUCUACUCGAAGCAAUCACCGGUACAAACAUACAAGCGAACAACAAGUACAACUAAGAACAAUACACCAAAUCAAAAGGAAAGCUUUAAAAGAGCGUACUAACGACAAGGCUCGAUCUAAGGUCACGCGAACGUAAGGAACGCUUAAAACGGAACUAUGGUUGAAAAGAUAAAGCUAUCGAGAGUUUUGAAUUAUAAAAGAAAGAUAAGAGCUACAAGCUUCAUUUAUUUUAGUUGAGAAAAGCAAUGUAAAGAUAUUUCAGAGAAAUAUCCUUAGUUAGAAUUAAUCAAGUCAUAUUUAUGUUUUCAUAAGAAAAGAUGGUGUAAAGCUUAGUCCAAUUUUAUUUAUAAAUAUUUGAGUACAAUUUAUGCAAAUUAAGCAUUUAAUUUUAAAAAAAAUAAGAUACCUGUAGACAUCUAAGCGUAUAGCUUUACAUCUCGAGUUCAACUAAGUAGAUUAAAUUAAAAACACAUUUAUAUUUAUAUUAGCCAAAUUCAUAUUUAAUUAUGAAAACUCGAGAUAUAACCUAUACAAAUUUUAUUUAGAAAACAAAUUGAAUAAACAUUAAUCAAAUUGAAUUCAAUUUAUGAAACACCGAGGUAGUGGCUUUUAAUUGGAAGAAUUAUUUAGAUAGGCAUUAAUCCAAUUAACUUUAGUUUAUGAAAAACCGAUAUAUAACCUAAUUGGCUUUUAUUUAGAAGAGGGUAUGAAGUAGGCAUUAAUCAAAUUAACAAUUAUUAUGAAAAACGAUGUUUAACACUAAAUAGAUUUUAUUUAGAGAAGAACUCGUUUGACCGGCAUUAAUCAAUUUUAAUAUAAAUUUUAUUUUCAAAAACAUGUGUGAAGGAAAACAUUACCACUAACGUGUAAUUUACAUCAUUAUGAAUCUAACGCAACUUGAGCGGACAAAAACGGAAUUAAAACGUAGAAUCUAUGGGUUAAACAAGGUUGUAGGGGCCUAAACAUAAUUAACCAUAGACCUCAGGGGUUAGCAAGGAAAAUUUGCAAGACACCAGGAAUAGUGCUCGCAAAUAAUAGAAAUAACAGGGUUAGAUCCAAAAGAUUGUGAGGCUCGGUUUAAAUUGAAAGGGACCGGAAAGAUCGAGGGGUUUUCUGUGAAGUUGCCAAGACACAAGAAAUAAGCUGAAAAAUUGAGUUUUCCUCAGGGGCCUAAUAGCAAAAUCACCAACUCAUCUUCAACCUCACGGUUGAACUGCCCGACCGGCUCUCCCAGGCUUGCCGGCGGCGCUGGCCGGCGACGGCGGCCGGGGCCGGGCCAGGCCAGGGGCGCGGGCGGCGGGUGCAAGCACCAGCAGGGGCUCGGCCGGCGGCUCCGGCGGCUGCAGGCGGCGCACGCGAGCUGCAGCGGCGCACCCGAGCAGAAACACGGGCGGUUCUGUUACGGUUGCAAGCCUGUUACGGUUGCAGAAACAAGGAAAAGAGAGAGAAAGAGGGAAUCGCCGGAAACGAAGUCCGAUCUCGCGCAUGAACGGCAAAAUGGAACGAUAUCGACGAGGCGAACAAGAUGGUGUGCUCACCUUCGGCCAGAGAUGAACAAUGGCGGCGGAAAAGCUCGCCGGAGUUGGGGAAGACGACGGAGCCGACAUCGGAUUCAUGCAAUCCACCACACCACGGCGUAGAGCUCGAAGAGAGGAACUCCAUGGUGGUGUCGGUUUUCGCCGGAAGUCCACGGUUUCGCCGGAAAAGCUCGCCGGACUUUGACGAAGACCGAACUUUGACUUCAGAUCUACGGAGUUAGGAGAGGUUACUCAUGAAAAGGUUUGUAGAUCUGAAAUCCUCGCGUCGAGACGAACGCGGUGAUAUAUAUAUAGGCCACACUCGGAAAAAGAUAUUUUCGAGUUGACUUUUUGAUUUUUCGGAUUUUCUAAAUUUAUUUAUCUGCGCGAAAACAAUUUCAGAAAUAGCUGGACUCGUUUUAUAAAGCGAGAAAAAUACCUAGAAAAUUCAGAAAAAUAUGAGAUAAAUCUCAGGGAUGGAUUGGGAUGCAAGGAAUCCAAAUAAAAUACUUGGAGCUCGUGAAAAGGAUUUUAGAACCUUCCAAAAAUUGGAUUUAGCUCUAGGAAAAGGAAAAUAAUUUCCGGAAAAAGAUGGAAAAUUCUCACAAGGGUUUGGGCCACGUCUAAACGUAUUUUCAAACUUUUGCACUCAAGAAACGCCAAGAUGCAGUGACAUGAAUGCACAGACAUAGAACAACAUUAUUUAAUUUAUAAAAGCAAACAAUUAUUUUUCCUAUACUAAAUUUCCUGUAAAAGAAAAUUAAAUGUUGGGAAAAUUUUAAAAUUAUGAGAAAAUUAUUGUUUAUUUAUUCUUUUUAUUCACAUCCUGAAAUUCGGAAAUUUCAGGGUGUGACACUGCAUGUACCAAAGUUUGAAUACCAGGUAGCUGAAAUUGGUGAGGUUACCACCAGUCAAAUGUUAGGCUAGGUACUCAUACAACUCGUUCAUACAAAUAACAGACAAUCAUCGGCUCAAUAUUACAACAAAUGAUCAUACAACCUUGUACAAUAAAACUAGGAUGAUAAUGAACUGAACAAUGAUAAUGAUAUCUUUGGUUGGUGUGCUUGUUUUGUUCAGUUGUUUGUCAGCCUUGAACUCAGGAGGGGCUUGAUCUACAUGUUGGUUGUGAUAGGCAGCCCAAGCUUGUGCUUCAGUGUUGUACCCUUUGAAACAGGCUCCCUUGAAGCCAUUAACUUGUUGAUGGCAAUCCCUCCAGGUGGAGAAGACGCCAGUUUUGCAGCCAUAGAACACAACAUACCAAGUCAUAAUUGAAGUCCUAGAUUAGUUACAAUGUAGCAAUAGAAUGUGAGUUGUAAAAAAAAUAAUCAAUGGACAAUGGAAACAAUUAAUUAGGUGCAAAUGCAUAAAUAAAUAACUUGUUCAUAACAGGCAAUGGAAUUGUGCUCAGAUCAUGCACAACUCAAAAGGAAAACAUAACAGCCAAUGGUCUACUACUCAGAUGAAGCACAAGUGGAAAAGGAUAUGAUGAAGGCAAUGAGCUGUGCUCAGAUAAUGCACAACUGAAAAAGGAAACAUAACAGCCAAUGGAUGCUUAACAUCAUUGCACAGACCCAUUGCCAUAUGAUCAGGAAUAGUAGAAUGUAAACAAUGGAUGCUUAACAUCAUUGCACAAACCAAUUGCCAUAGGAUCAGGAAAAGUAGAAUGUAAUUAAUGCAUGCUUAACAUCAUUGCACAAACCAAUUGCCAUAGGAUCAGGAAAAGUAGAAUGUAAUUAAUGCAUGCUUAACAUCAUUGCACAAACUCAUUGCCAUAAGAUCAGGAAUAGUAGAAUGUAAUUAAUGGAUGCUUAACAUCAUUGCACAAACUCAUUGCCAUAUGAUCAGAAAAAAUAGAAUAUAACUGAUGCAUGUUCAUCAUCAUUGCACAUGUAUUUAACCUCAGGAAAUGUAAAAGAAAUAGUGGAACAAAUCAUCAUUGCACAUGUACUUAGCCUCAGGGAAGGUAAAAGAAAUACUGGAAUAAAUAAUCAUUACACAUGUACUUAGCCUCAGGGAAGGUAAAAGAAAUAGAGGAAUAAAUAAUCAUUACACAUGUACUUAGCCUCAGGGAAGGUAAAAGAAAUAGAGGAAUAAAUAAUCAUUGCACAUGUACUUAGCCUCAGUCUAGAUAAAAGAAGUAGAGGAAGGUAAAAGAAGAAGAGGAAUAAAUGAUCAUAGCACAUGUACUUAGCCUCAGGGAAGGUAAAAGAAGUAGAGGAAGGUAAAAGAAGAAGAGGAAUAAAUGAUCAUAGCACAUGUACUUAGCCUCAGGGAAAGUAAAAGAAGUAGAGGAAUAAAUGAUCAUUGCACAUGUCCAUAGCCUCAGUCUAGUUGUUCAUACAGCAUAUUAUUACAUCAUCAUUGCACAAGUGCAUUGGCUCAGCUAACAGAACAACAGUUGAUCAUUGCACACAAACAGCAAGCUCUACACAUGAGAGGUGCCCCUAUUGUUCCACAUAUCAUUUGCUAUUUCAUUCCUUCUUGUACCCCAAUCUAAAUUGUCAUCUGUCUGACCACCAUCAGCAGGUGCAGUAGUACUACAAUUAGGUUCCCAUGUUGCUUCAUCAGGAAUAACCUCAUACUGACCAUGGCCAAUUAUCCAAUUAUGAAGAAUACAACAUGCAAGAACUAAUUUGACUUGUGUCUUGAAUGGGUGGUAGGGCUUGUUGUCUAGAAUACGAAAUCGAUUCUUUAAAGCCCCAAAUGCCCUCUCAACUGUGACCCUUAGGCUUGAAUGCCUCAAGUUGAACAACUCUUUCUUAUUGGUAGGAUAAUUUCUUCCACCAUAUUCUUUCAAGUGGUAUCUAGUGGCUCGGUAAGGGGGCAUAAAUCCAGGACGACAUGCAUAGCCAGCGUCCACUAGGUAGAAUUUACCUAAACAAUUCAUUAGGUAGCCAAGAAUCAGUUGUAGUGGUUAUGUGAAAUCCCAAUUUGUGGUUUGUCUAAAAGUUUCUGUUACAAGUACCUGGAGGAACCCUUAACCCAUCAUCCCUCUCUAGAGCAUCAGCUAGAAUGAGUGCAUCAUGUGCAGAUCCCUCCCAUCCAGCUAGCACAUAAGUGAACCUCAGAUCAAAGUCAACUGCAGCAAGCACAUUUUGAGUAGGAUAGUGCUUCCUACCCCUGAAUGCUGCAGAUAUCUUUGCUGGAACUCUAGCAUGAACAUGAGUACCAUCUAUUGCACCAAUACAGUCCUACAUUGUAGCAAGACUUGUGAUUAAAGUUUGGUCAGGACUGCAGUUAGGUAUAGGUAAACCUUACAUUCAUUUAAUUACCUUAAAAUAAGGAUACCACCUUGGGCUUGUUCUGAUUUUAAUUGCUGUCUCAGUUGAUGGUGGCCUUAUCAUCUCUCCCCUGAGCUCACCAAUAGCAUACAAGACCUCUCUAAAAUACCUACUUACUGUUUCCAUGGAUCUCCUAAAUGUUUGGUGGAUUACUCUAAAUCUCUGGUUGUGUCCCACAACAUGGAGAAACAUUGCUACUUGUUCCUCCACAGUACUGUUUAUUGUGUCCCUUAGCAAGCUUCUAUCCCUAAGCAGGUUACACAAGUUGAAAAAGGGAGCUCUACGCAUACGCAACAUGUUCACACAUUCUAUGUCAUUACAAUUAAAAAUUUUAUUCAGGUUGGCUUGGCGUUCCUCAUCCAUAGCACUCAUUGGGGCAUAUGUAAUCCGAGGCUGUGAAUUAUAGGCCACCCUCAGCCUACUCAUGAAGUAUGCAUAGAUGACAGACACAAAAGCAGCAGCUUUUAUCACAAGCAUGCGUCUCUGGUCGACAGGGUUCAUCUAAUACACAAUGCAAAGCAUGUCUCAGCAAAACAACAAAUCAUUUUGAGCAUUCAACAAGUGGGUCAGGAAAAAAAACUGCAUCAUCGCCUAAUGCACAAGUGCUCACAUAUAGGUAAAUCAGUGUAAUAAUAAUGCAUCAUUGGAUAAGGACAUGUGCUCAGUUUUCAUUUUUAUAACUUAAUAUCAUCGGCCAAGAACAUGUGCUCACUGCUGAAAAUAAAUAAGCAUUCAUCAUCGGCUAAGAACAUGUGCUCACUGUUGAAAGAAAAUAAGCAUUCAUCAUCGGCUAAGAACAUGUGCUCACUGUUCAAAGUAAAUAAGCAUUCAUCAUCGACUAAGAACAUGUGCUCAGUUUCCAGAGUAAGUAAGCAACCAUCAUCGGCUAAUGACAAAGGCUCACUGGAAAAAAACGUUACCGCUAGCUCCUUUAGUAAACAGUCCGAGGGAUUUCAAGAGUUCAACGGGUAAGCCAAGAUAAAGGCAGAUCUGCACAUGAGGGAGAGGGAUUACUACCAAAACAAACAAGAUCCAAUCGGGAGAAACAACAACUGACCGAAACCCUAAAAGAUAAAACUUACCUUUUUACCUCCAACGAAAUCACCAGCACAGAUCCGACCCUACAAAUGUUCAAAGCAUUAGGACCCCAAAAAAACCGAUCGAGAAAGGGAGCAACACCAGAUCUGCGACGGAUUACAGGUUACCUGCUCUCUUUGCCACGAAAACCCGACGAAACGAACCUCAAAUCUGCGGAAAAUGAACAGAGGGAGAAGCGAAAGGUCAACCACCGAUAUCAUCGAGCCUCAAACACCGUGGAUCUGGAGCACAAGUGAAGAUGCAUCACCUGCUGCGUGUCAGAUCUGGAAGAGCACGAAGACGAGGACACGAGGAAGCGGGAGAUCUCACAGCGGAGAGGCAGAGGGCGAGUGCGACGGAGAGAAUGGGGGGAGGGGCGGCGGCGGUGAAGAUAUAGCGCGGAUGGAAGGCGCGAAAGGGGCGGCGGUAACCCUAGCUUCCCGCGCGCGCCCCCGCAUCUCCCGCCUGCACGCGCGGAGCCAUUUUUCUGGGCACCGAGAGCGCGCUCGCGUCCCGCACGAGCCAGGCCGCCAAGAAACGGAUUCCAUUUUCGUUUCCCGGCAGCCAGGCUCGGGGGGUCGUGUUGCACGCCCAGAGCCAGGCUCAGGUGCGAAUACAGGCAACCAAUCGCGAAGCGUGUGCAUCCCGAGAGCCAGGCCGACCCAUAUGCGGGGAAGCAAACGCGCCCUUAGGUACCACACCAUCCCAUCGAGCCGAGCCAUAUUUCCAACAAGCCGAGCUGAGCCUGAAUCCUUUACGGAGUAGUUAUGUAAAGAUUUAACAGUUACCAUGCUGAGGUCAUUUGUAGUUCAGUUUACAAAUUAGUGUUGGUUGUCUUAAUACGCUGCCUAAGGAGGUUAAGACUUCUAUUUUGGUUGCCUUCACACUAGUAAAGAAGAUAAUGUUAUGAGAUGGUAUAAUUUGACAACUCAAAAUAUACCGAGUACUUUUUUGCGUCUGUACCAAUUCUAGUAUCAUAUAUAUGUUGGUUUGGUUGUUCAGGUUGAUAUAUUUGCUUAUUCCCAGGGAUCAUUUGCUUUUUUCAUUAAAUAAAGAUAUCCCAGGUGUGAGACGCUCGGACCUGUGUGCAUUGAUUUAGAAAUGGUUUAAAUCUUCAGUUCAGUUGAUGGAGAAGGCCAUGGCUCCAUAAAGACUACUAGAGAUGUGAUAAACCAGAGUAUGUUAGUUUCAUCUGUUCCUCCUAUUUUUCCUGUUCCAUUAUUAUAAUUACGGUUUUUUGCAGGCUCAAUCAGCAGAGACGAGGGCUGAGAUGCUGCAUUACCUUUUCAAUCAGAAAACAGGGUCCACAAGUUGCCUGACGAGCUUCUUCAGUUUUAUCCCUUUUUUACGAAUAUUGAUCACAAAUAUAGUGUAUUCUAGCGAGAUUUGUGUCCCUGUAUCUGGCGUUCCAUGUAUAUACAUGUUGCCCUUAUUGACCAUAUUAUCUGGUUGAACAAAUUAGCUGCAAUCAAAGCACUCUAUUGUGAAGGACGGUUCGGUACCCUGGGUACCCGAGCCACCUCCGACACGCCUCCGGCCGCAGCCUCGCGCUCUGCCCACGUCUGAUUUUUUUCAUACGCGACUGGUGGGCCGAACGUGGGCAGUGCAGGGGCUAGAUGUCCUCGUGUGGUAGGCCUCCGCAUGUACGGUGUUUUUGAGGAUUUUGUGAUUUUUCUUACCUUUAUUAUCUGACAUGACACAUGAACUAUGUUCGGUAUUUUAGUCGGAGACAUUUUUUUUUGGCGAGUAAUGACACAUUGCUAUUUCACUCUUUGGACUUUGUAGCGAGUUGGUCGUACAUCUCCCUAAUGGCGCUAAUUAAUAGAUUUCUACCAUUUGAGGAUAAUCAGUUUGUUCACUUCAGCUUAUUCAACUGACUUAUCAGCCACCAAACAGUGGUUUCCUCUCACAACAAAUCAGCCGUUUCAGCUUUUCAGCCGGCUUAUAAGCUGAAGCGAACAGGUCCAGUGAUGGUACAGAGGCUUGAAAAUUGAUUAUUUAAGUUUCAGUAAAGGGAGUAAACAAAGUGUGUCGGAUCAUUAAGGGGUCGUUUGGUUCCCUUUGCUUAUUUUUAGCACGUGUCACAUCGAAUGUUUAGAUACUAAUUAGGAGUAUUAAACGUAGACUAUUUACAAAACUCAUUACAUAAGUGGAGGCUAAACGACGAAUCUAUUAAGUCUAAUUAAUCCAUCAUUAGCAAAUAUUUACUGAUACAUUAUCAAAUCAUGGACUAAUUAGGCUUAAUAGAUUUGUAUCGCCGUUUAGCCUCCACUUAUGUAAUGGGUUUAUAAAUAGUCUACGUUUAAUACUUCUAAUUAGUAUCUAAACAUUCGAUGUGACGGGUGCUAAAAAUAAGCAGGUGAACCAAACCGGACCUAAGACUACGAUAUGGGUAGCAGCAUCAGUUAAUACUAGAAACACAUGGUAUGUGACUCAUUCAUAUCUUUUGUUGCCGGGCCAGUAAAUAGAGCAACCAUUGUUCCAACUUCCAAGGUAGUGGCACUAGAAUAUUUCCAACCAGUCCAUGUAAUCAAAGAAUUCAAAUUGAAUAGCAAAUCUAAUUUAUUCUCUAUCUUUCUCAAGAACAAUCUUGAAUCUUAUCCCUUCGAGUCGUUCUUCCAGCUGGCUUCUGACCUCUUACACAAUGGCAUUUGUAGCCUGCAACGGAAUCAGAAAAACAAAAUAUUAAAUGUGUAUUCCUACCACCUAAAUGAUAGUCAUUACUGGUUUUGGUUGCCAUCUCUAAUUGAUGCAUGCAGAUCCAAAUAUAUAAAAUAAAUGAGAGCAGCGACGGAGAGAUUGUACAGAUAAAGUUUCCAUGAUUCAUUGGCAGCGGCUUAGAUGGCGGCAAGCCAGCGAGUGGACAGAGGCACGAUGUUGGCAUGGACUUCUCCGGAGCAGCAGCAACAGCUGAUUGAUCAUUUACAGAGAUUGUCACUGCCAUUGAAAGUUAAUAAAAGGAAGUCAUGCUUGUGCAUCCUGUAUAUAGUUGGCUAUUUUAUAGAACUAUUGAUCAUUUUCACCUUUCUUUUAGAUCCGCAUAGAAUUUUCCAACAUAUAGCCAUAUAGUUGUGGCAGAAACAGGCAAAUUUAACACAAAAAAUUAUUCAGAAUUAGACUAGUCAACGGCAUUGUGAGCAUACUCUAAAUGAAUCAGGCUUCUCCCUGAUCGAAAUCCACUGUACCAUCUCCCAGUCUAUUCAAUUCAGUUAACGGAGUCCUGCAGAAUCUUGUCGAAAAGGUAUCUCCAUUGUGGAAAAAGUAACAUGGAUCAGAUGUCACUAAAAAAGCUUUUUAUUUGGACAUAUACUAGAAUGGCAUAAAACAUGAGAACCAUAACUAGAUUGAUUUUUUUAAAUUGAUGACUAGAAUAACCUUAGCAAUAAACAAUUUACAGCCGCUAUAGUUCCUGGUGUCUCAAUAAGAUAAACUAAGAUCAGAUAAAACAAGUAAUCCCAAUUCAAGUAUCGAUGCAUCCAAAUAACCAAACUAUUGCAUUAGCACACGGAACUUGCCUGUAAUCUGAGCACGGAAAUUGGGCUCCAAGGUUGAGAACCAGACUCAAUGUCUGAAUGAGAUCAGCAGAUCAGCAGGUCAGAGGGGAUUUUCGGAAGGGAGAGGGAGGCAACCUGUAUGUCCAGCCAGCACCACCUGGAAUAUCAGAAAAUUCAUGCAUCUGUUCCUGCUAAUGGAAGAUGUUGUCCACUGUGGCUGAUCCCCAGGGGUAUCAGCUGGUGAUAUAGCAUUGACCUGAAAAGAAAACGACAAUUCAACUGAGCAAAGAUAGUGAUGCUACAAGAAAAAAAAAAGGAAACCUGUGUACAUGUGUACAUGAGUAAACAUUGCAAAUAUUUACAAGAACAGUUCAUGUGUAGGUUUUUUUUUCUUGAGAGAGCUGUAUCAUUAUUAAGAAGGAAAAAAAAAAGGAAGAGCCCUUACAAACACACACACACCCGCACACCAACCAAAUUUUUCAGCUAACCAUUCGCGCCUGUAGACAGAAACAAACGUGUAGGAACUAGGCUCCUGCUUGCAAUGGGGACAGGUAUUAAAGGCACGGAGCAUACACUACUGCAUUGAGCAUUGGAGCAUUUCCAGAAACAAGAAGUGUGCAUCAGCAUUACACAAUAUUCAUCCUCCAAACACGCAUUCAUAAUGCUACAUAACUGACAUUUAAUAGGAUCAAGUUUUUCUAUAACAUGUUGACAAAAGUGAAUACCCUAAACAAACAUUUAUGACAGUUGGGCCAUGGGAAGCACAUGACAUUCAUCAUAAACCCAAAUCAAUGAUUGUUUGGCUUUUGUGCGUAUCAAUUAUCAUAUAUAGAGGAUGAACCAAUGUGGCCACUCCACCAUCUGCAGGCAUCCUCUUGCCAUGAAUUGUCCAGAAAUGUGACCGACUAUUCACGGUGAUGCCAUGAGAGACCAUGAGAAGUAGUCUUCUAUGUGUUUCAAAACUAACCUUAAACGUGGGAUCUGUACUGGUCAUCAGGAUUAUUGUGUCAAGAUUGUAUAGUUGAUUAGGUCAAUAAUAUGACAUUUGGUUUCAGUAUGUGAUUUUGACUUGUUUUGACCGGAGAAAUCGUAUCGCCCCAUUUGUAAAUGCAUGAUAGGUUGAUAUGUAGUUUUUUUUUGAAUUGUACCCAUUUCUAAUAAAUCCAUCUUAUGCAUUUUUUAGCGGAUCCAUAUUCCAUCCUAUUCAUUCUGGAAUCGUAACUAGUUAGAAAUUUUCAGUACUGGGCCAAUCUAGUUUAGGCUUGGCGAGCUACGGGCCCACCGGCCCAGUAUCGUUUUCGCAGAUAACAUAUCUCUACAUCGCCACUUCUGCAUCGCAGCCGCCCGCCGCCGUAAUGGCGAGAGACAGAUCUCCAACCAAUUCGCCGCCGGCGAAACGCCGUAAGGAAUCCAGCACCACCACCGUCGCUGCCCUCGGCGAGGACAUCCUGCUCGAGAUCUUCCUCCGCCUUCCCUGCCUCGCCACGCUCGUCCGCGCCGCCCUCACCUGCCGCGGGUGGCGCCGGGCGGUGGCCUCCUCCCCGGCCUUCCACCGCCGCUUCCGCCAGCUCCACCCGGCGCCCCUCCUGGGCCUUCUCUUCAAUCCUCCUGGCCCCGUUCAAGACCCUGAGCUCCCCGCCUUCCCCUCCUUCGUCCCCACCCGCGGCACCGACCGGGACCAAGCCGCCGCCGUCCGUGGCGGCGACUUCUUCCUCACCUCCCUCCAGGAGCGCUCCGGUGUCCACAACGGCUGGGACAUCCACGACUGCCGCGGCGGGUACGUCCUCCUCGCCAAUGGUGAUCAGGAAACAAUGGCGGUGGUCAAUCCCUUGGUGCGACGGAGCGAAAGGUUCCUUGAUUUUGGCCACAAGGACACUCUUGAAGGUCAUCGCGCCUGCGGCAUCGUACACAGGGCCUGCUUGCUCUGCUCCGACGAAGACCCCACGUCGUUCCGCGUGAUCAUUAUUGCCCAUGACAAGUCCAGGGUGCGGGCUACUGUCUUCAGCUCGGAGACCGGCGAGUGGUCCGUUCGCCGGUGGGUGCAUAUCCCGGCGAGGCCACGGCGCGGCCGUGGCGAACGGUGGAUUCUGAACAGCAACAUGCAGGCCAAUGGAUUCUUGUACUGGGUUUCGAAAAAUCGCAAAUAUAUGGUCACACUGGACACGGCAACAGUGGAUUUCUCUGUCAAUGAGCUCCCUAUUUUCCUGCAGAAUCGACACUGCACCUUCGUUGUGGGUGAAAUGAAGAAUGGUGAAGCCUGUAUUGUCUAUGCUAUUAACUUCACAGUUGGUGUCCUGUUUCGCAGAACAGAGAGUGAUGGCGUUGAUAGGUGGGUGCUGGACAGGGCCGAACUCUUGGAGACACAGCUUGGUCGGGUCCUUGGCGAAGUAAUGGAGAACUACAAUGAGGUGGAGGUUGUGGCAGUAAGGGAUGGCUUUGCGUACUUGGCAACAACAGAAAGUUUAAAUGAUUCUGGGACUCCUAGUUGGUUCUUGUCCCUCUGCUUGGAAACAAUGAUAUUGGAGAAGCUGUUUCAGAGGACGUAUGAUAGUUCGGUGCACCCCUAUGUUAUGCCAUGGCCGCCUUCUUUAGUUGGUAACUAUGGGAGGUUUGCACCUGAAGAUGGUACAUGAAGUGCAUAUGCAUGACUAGGAGAGGCUAGUAAAACCCAACGUCCUAUUUGCUGUUAUUGAAAAAAUCAGCAUGCUGAAAUGCCAUGAUAACUACAUUCUUCUGAGGCUGCAUCAUGCUGAAGAAUUACAUCCAAUUCCGUGACGCUGAAGAUUCUGUCACCAGUCAAUCCUACAAGUUGAUCUUUUGAAUUUGUUAUUUAUGUUCAGUAACCAGUUUUCAGUAUCGGUGUGAUGAUUCUGAACUUUAUUCUACAGUAUUUCUUAUGUUCGCUACUGAGUCUUUCUUUUUGGGUCUUGUAUGGUUUUAGGAGUCUUUUUUGUGAGAUCCUUGCUCUAAUGCUCUGAUGAGAAUAGGGACUAUUUACCUUUGAUCCAAGAAAAACAAUGAGUAGGAAUAAGCACACUUGCCUUUUCUUUGUUGAUUGAUUUCGCUCAUAAAAAAAUUAAUGUUAGCCUUUCAAAGUAAAAAAAUUGAUGGAGUGGCUGCAUCCUCUCUAUAUGAUAUGUUUCAUGGAUGGCUAGUCUGGCAUCCUCUCUAUAUGAUAUGUUUCAUGGAUAUGCUCACGCUGGACACGGCGACAAUGGAUUUCUAUGUCGCUGAGCUCCCUCUACGGGUGAACGUGAAGGAUCGGGAAUGCAGCUUUGUUGUUGGUGAAACUAUCAAUGGCACACCAUGUGUUGUCUAUGCUUUUAAGUUUAGAGUUUGUCUAUCCUUGCAAAGAAUAGAUGAUGAUGUCAAGAAGUGGUUGGGAGACAAGAUCACUUCUAUAGACACGCAACUUGAUGGGGUCCUCGGACAACUAAAGAACAAGUACAGUCAAGUUCAGGUUGUGGCAGUCAGGGAUGGCUUUGCAUACUUGACAGCAUCACUGAUGUACAAUCAUGACACGACCCCGAGUUGGGUCUUCUCCUUGGAAACAAUGAAACUGGAGAAGAUGUUUCAGAGGCCGUAUGAAUGUUGUGUGCAGCCCUAUGUUAUGUCAUGGCCACUUUCACUAGUUGAUAACUAUGGUAGUUUUGCAUUCGAAGAUGGCACGCGAAAUACAUAGGCCAUGAAAUAUUAUGCAGACAGAGAAGUGGAGAAGACAAUAAGUCCAUCCUUCUAUUUGCUGUUGUUUAGUGAAUCAUCAAUAUUUCUUGAUGGCAAUGCCAUUCAAAGCUGCAUCAUACUUAAGAAUACAAAUCAAAUUCCACAAAGUUAAAGAUUCAAUCAUUAGUGACUUCUCUAAUUUGAUCUUUUCUUUGGUUGUUGUUAGCAUUUUUCAGUACUGGUUAAAUGAUUAUGUUUCUUAUUUUUCAGUACCAAGUCAUUUGUAGGUGUUGGGUUAUGAUAUUUCAAGCGUCUUUUGUGGUCUAUCUAUAAGAUCCUCCUUGCACGGCUCAUUUUCUUCGAGCUCUGCUUCUCCCUUUCCCAUCUUCCCGAUGAACAAGUCAGAAUUGCCUCAACAAAAAUGGAUGAAAUUGGACCGAAAAAAUCAAUUCAGCUUCGUUAUCGAUUAGGUAUCAGUGGGUGCCCUUGCUUUGAUUGAAUUGACGGAUAGUAGCUACUACCCGGCUUUCCCUCUAGGAACUAAUCCACCGCUCCCGAGAGAAUGGAUGUAUACAACUCUGCUGUGAAUAUUACUUAAUUUCAUCAUGCUAAUAAUCAUACAUAGCCUUCUAUAUUCGUAUUGCAUUUCGUAGUUAUGGAAGCCUCUAAAAUCACUUGAGUCUUGUGUAAUCCGAUUCCAUGGAGGUUAUCAGGUUUAAAUUUUUUCCUUCACCCCCAAUGUUGUCCAAACUAAAUGGAGUUUAUUGUAUUUCUACGUCGCUUCCUAGUGUUUAUUCCUGGAUUUUUGACGUUUUAUUUCAUGAUUGACUAACAAUUCCAAUGUGCAAACACUACCUGUACUCUGGUAAACUAAGUCACAAUCUCAUCGAACAGUUGUUUAAUCUUUGUAAAAACUUAUUCAUCGGACGACUAGGCUCCAUGCGUCAGGCAUGUUAAUUACAUGGUCAGUUACUUUAGUCUUUAACCGACCUGGUAAUAACUAACACUUUCUCAGUGCCUUCAAGCUAGAUUCACCGAUCCCGGUAAAGACAUUGUCCAAAACCAUUGCCAGUGUGCCAGCAUCGAAACUGUAAGCGUUGCGUCGAGGUUCAGAUUACAUCUUCUGAGGUGAACUGCUUUGCUCCUUUGGGCAAUGCCCCGGUGAGAGAUCCUUUUUGCCUUGUGAUUUCUGGGCAAUCUUUCAGCUUGCCUCCCUUUCUUGCUCUAAACUCACAAGUUCACAAUUAAUGGGCAGGAUGUUUUGUUCCAGUGUUGAUCUUUUACUUCACUCUUUUGCAACUUCAUUGUGCAGGUAUAUAUGUAGAAAUUGCUAACCUUCAGUCUUGCUAGGUCAACACUGGAAAUGGACUGCCAAAAGGCAUUAUAAGCACAUAUUCUUUUUUGUGUACCCCUCCUGGAAGAAAGAGAUACAAAAGGGAUGUGGCGUGAGUCUGAUUUAUACUGUUACUGCUAUCCAUUCGAUACAUUUUGUUUCUGGGUGCUGACUAUACAUCCACGACAAGAAAGGACAUCCCUCUGAUGACUGUAGUCGAUUAUCACCAAUCAUUAUGGUGCAAUUGCAGAAAGGGAAAUGUCUUGCGUUAACAAUUCAACAGUCGUCCAUGAAGAGACAUGCUUCUGUCUGAGCAGUGUUCCAUUUAGAUGCAGAAGUUGGGAUAUACGGUCUAUAUUGCGAUAGUCCACUCCAGUGGCCUUCUCACCACCAGGACGACAUACAGUUAGGGCAUGCUCAAUGUAUGUGAUCCACCAUAAUCUUAAGAGUGGGUCCAUAAACAGUUGAUCUUGUUACAGCCAUGCGCACAAAGCCAUGCGCACAAUGCUAUGGUCUAAAUUGGACCGCAAGAUGGGCCCCACACAAGAUAAAAAAUCCUGCAUUUUAACUCCCCAUCCGUCAAUCUCUCGGCCCAAUAUUUAAACAUGCUAGGAAAGAGAAAGGAUGGGAGGGAAAGGAGAGAGAAGAAAUUAAUUCUUUUCUCCUUACGGUGAAUCGUAAUCUUGAGGUGCACCUUAAACCUUUUUCCCUUUAGGUGCAUCCCCACAAUGUUUAAUGCUACCUUUUUCAGAGCAAUGAUUAGCUUAAGGCUACCUUUUUCAUAUAUUGUGGUUACCCUUAGCAAGCAACCACACGGGUGGCAGUCAUGUCAUUGUAUCACCUUCAAGUUUUCAAAUUCAAGUCUAUUGAUGUGAUGUAGAUGACAAGAUGACAUGUUGAAGCCUAAAAAACACUAAGGGGGCGUUUGCUUCCACUGACUUAUUUUUAGCACGUGUCACAUCGAAUGUUUAGAUACUAAUUAGGAGUAUUAAACGUAGACUAUUUACAAAACCCAUUACAUAAGUGGAGGCUAAACGGCGAGAUGAAUCUAUUAAGCCUAAUUAAUCCAUCGUUAGCAAAUGUUUACUGUAGCAACACAUUGUCAAAUCAUGGACUAAUUAGGCUUAAUAGAUUCGUCUCGCCGUUUAGCCUCCACUUAUGUAAUGGGUUUUGUAAAUAGUCUACGUUUAAUACUCCUAAUUAGUAUCUAAACAUUCGAUGUGACGGGUGCUAAAAAUAAUUCAGUGGAAGCAAACGGGGUGUAAGACACUAGGUGGUAGCAACGGAAUCUGCUUCCAGACAUUGCUUGGGCCAAGUCCACAAUUGGGUUGACCUGGAACUUGUUGUGUGAUCACAGAUUAUUUCGAACGAACACUGAGUGCUGACAUUGUAAUCACCAAAUAUUGUGUGAAAUAGUUUUAUCUGCAGACUCACCCAACUACCCAAGGCUGUGGGGAUGGGGAGGGUGUGUGGAGAUGUGCAUGAGUGAUGUAUGCCUUUAGUUUGUACUGGGGAUAGAACCUAAGUAUAUGUUACGGAGUACUUGUUAACAGGAUUGAUCUCUUCAGCAUAUUCUUUUCAAAAAGAAUUCACGUUCUACCUAGCAAAACUGAAAGAAAACAGCAUUUUGGUUUAACACUGAUAUGCAAUUCACAUAGCAAAGCGUGAGGGAUGUAGUUUGAUAUAUUUUGUUUUUUACAUGUCUUUUGCAUGUAAUAAAUACUCAAGUUCUUAGUUCAAGAAUCAAGAUUGGCAAAGCUAAAACGCCAAAAAGAAGAAAUCGAGAAACUCGUAUUGCUUUGAUGGGUAACUGAAAAAUAACAUAAACAUUGUAUGAUACGACAUUGGGACAUGCAACCUUACAAAAUCAAACAAGUUCAAAUACUCUAAAACCCAAACAUUAUUUGAUGGACUUUGGUUUGCAGCAGGAACACAAACCAACAUAGAAGUCCAUUGAGCAAAACAACAAGAACAUGGAGCACUUAUGCGCAUGGGUUGUGGCGGAGCUUCAACGACAGAUCCAUUGCCAUGCUAGAUUCACCACUAGACGAGAGAUUUAGCGAUAGGUCCAGAGCUGCAUCAAAUCCACCUGUAUAUGAGGAUGACCUCUCAUACACAGAAAAUUCAGACUCAUUGCCAAAUAGCUCGUCAGACACAUGCUGAGGAAAGAACUGAAUCUCCCUUGCCAUUCUCUCCACAGCUUCAUUAGCGUCUUCUUCAUUGACAAGCAAUGGUGUCAAGGCCUUCUUUGCACUGUGUGUCUGCUCCUUCUGCAUUAUUUCAAAUAUUAUGAAAUCUAAAUACAUCCUAUAACAAAACAGAAGGUAAUUUGAAAAGCAUAAAAUAUCUUAUAGACCAAAGAAGAGAAACAUACUCAUAGAAUUCUAUAAUUCUUUUUGUAAGUUUUUUCAAAAGCUAUUGUAUAGGAUGAUUUUACCUCUUACCAAUUGUUUAAUUUUUAUAUUCCAGUUGAUAAUGCUACGGAACCAAGCAUAUAAUUCCUAACAUUGAUUGAUAGAGAAAAGGUAUAUAUAGCUGGUCUAACCAAUAGAAAGGUAAAUCUUUUAACAUAUUUGAGGAGUAUAUCUAAAUCUUCUCGACCAAACAAUCAUUUGUUGUUGACUCAGUUCUUAGCAAAAACAAAGAAAUCAUUUGUUGUUGACUCAACAACAACACUGGUGGGUGAUCCUAGUGGUAGCUCCGUCAUCAUAACUUUCCUCUUUACAGUCUUGAAGGAACAAAAAAAAUGCAUGCAUUUGUAAUUUUACAAUAUGGUUAUGUAUUGUAAAAUAUACUAAAUGUUGUGAGAAAUUGGAGAUAUGGAUGGUUUGGGAUUUAUGGAUAGUCACCUGAUGGUGAUAGCCAACAUUGGUGCUGCUUGAUGCAUGUUUCGGCACAGCCUGAUGGUUUGGUACCAAUUUGGGAUAAUCAUCAACACCUGCAAAGCCUGCAAUUGGUGUAACACUUCCGAUGCGUUCCUUUCUGUCCAUGGCAUACAUCUGUGGUAUCAUAGGAGGGAUCCUAUUUCUAGUAUCCACAGCCCAAGGGGGGCACCUCUGAACAUCUAAUGAUGGCUGAAAAAAGAAAUGACAGAUAAAUUGUUAUGCAAAAGGAUAUUGUUGCAUUAUGAAACACGGCAAGUUCACGUUCAUACGUUGGGCGGGAAGGUGGGAGCAACAGCACCAAGUUGACGAAGUUCCUCUCGGUGUGGCAUGGUGUAACUACGAUGUUGGAUCACCCUAUGACUAUUCGUGCACAUGGAUUCUAGUUGUGGGGAAUUUGAUGAGCUCAUCUCUAUCAAGGUUAGAGGUGGGGAAACCACCGGAGGAACCGAGGGACCUUAGGGGAAAGUAGUUACGAGAUGUCCCGCAUAGGAAAAAAAAUGACGAGGCAAACUACACACAAUAGAACUUGUGUUAAGUUAGGAACCACCCCAUUGGGCUUUUGUAGCUGAGUGUCUAGGAUGCGACAAAAGGUGAGUAUCAAUCAUUUAUAAAAUUAGUGCUUAGGUGUAAAUGUUCAGUAAUACAAAAUCUUUGAAGAUUUUUUUUUCACAUACCGAAUCCGAGGUUAGCCAAACCAUAAGCUGACAGCCCUGGAUUGAACUGUAUAAGUUUUUAAUUUAGACCAGCUAAACUGUAGAAUAAAGUAACAACUGGUAAAACAUUUACGCAGUAAUCCCUUUAAUGUGUGGGUGUUGAAGCGGGUGGGUUGGCAGAUGGAGGGGGCUGUCACUAAGCCAAUUUAAAGCAUAGAAAACAGAGCAUGGGCUAAUUCCAGUUUACUUAGUAUAGAUGGCCAGAUGAGCCAUCCGGCACUAGCAUGAUUUGGCCCGACCCGACUAGGCCCGGCACUAUCAGAUCUGAUAACUUAUCCGUGCCGGGCUGAACCGGCACUGCAUGCUGAACUGCUGGCCCAGACCCAGCAUUAUGAUCUUUUUAUCGUGUCGGGUCGGCACGCUGGCACGGCAGGCCCAUCGUGCUAGUGCCGGGCCAGCACUAGCACUACUAGUGGCGGCCGGCCGGCUCCCGGUCGUGGCCCCCCACGGCGGCGGCCAACGCAUUUCCAUGCCAUCACGACUGAGAAGAGGAAGAAGGGGCGGCACCUGGGGAGGAGUGAGGGUGGCUGGCGACAUCGACGCGACAUUAGGGUGAGAAGCAGUGGCUGGCGGCGCGAUGUUUGGGGAGGAAUGAGGCUGGAGGGGUGACGCACAUGAGGGAGCUGCUCAGUGGGUCUGGCCCAUCUGACCAUCUAUAUUACCUAGGCCACUGUAAUGCAGCCAUUUGUUUUGGAAUGUUGAAAACCCAUUCACCAACUAAAAAAAUCUUUCAUGAUAUAUUUCAAGAACAACCUGUAACGGUAGUAACCUAUUAGGGGCGGCUAUUUGUACAGGAACAACAGUAGUAACCUAUUAGGGGCGGCUAUUUGUACAGGAACAACAGUAGUAACCUAUUAGGGGCGGCUAUUUGUACAGGAACGGGGAAUGUAAAAUCCUCCAUACAAACUUCAAUUACUAAAUGUGUCUUAGUUUAUAUUCAAUGGUAACUUUAAAAACAUUAAAAAAAUUGUAAGCCAAAUAAAAAACACUGAAAUCACUAGAGAUGCCAGCUCUGUUAACUACUACCACCAGAUUUUUUUGGUACACGGCUGACACAUAACAUAUUACAUAUUACUAGUAAGUUUUAGUUUUAAAUUGUAACUUGCUAAUAACUUAUAGUAUUUGAAGGUUCACACUAAAUGAGCCUUCUACUUUUCUUUCCUAACUACUCCCUCCAUUCCUUUUUGUUGGGCGGGUUAAUAUUGAAAAGAAAUUUCGUUCUGCUAGGUGUUUAAGGUAUCCAAAACAAUCAUUCUCCCUUCCCCAUUCUGCCGUCACCUCAGUUACUGCUUGCCAGUCUACUACAUGCAAAGGAAUUAAGGGAGCAUGCAGGUUCAUGCUUGCAACAGAAUAGCAAGGUUAGCAUACUCUUUUUUGCUUGUCGUUUGCUGAUAACUAAUGCUCCAUAACCUAUAUAAUGAGUGCUAAAACAACUAACAAAAAAGAAAUGUUAGGAGUAUAUUGAAUAUAUGAUGUAUGAAAAUUUGAAGGUAGACACUAAAUGAACAAUACCGUGCAUUGGGACACAUGAGCGGCAUGGAGUGACUUGCUUGCAUGGAAACCAUUAAAAUUUGGAUACAUGAUCGUAGAGAGGGAAUGGAUUAGCGAUAGAAAGCUAUCUGAGCCGUGUAGGAUCUGUGGCAAAAACGUAAGCAAAUGAACCCCCUAAUUCGAGUAUUGGUGGUUAAAGGCAAUGCGAUAAUCAAUAUAUUAACCCCAUAUUUAAUGAACAUACAAGAGUUAGGUCUUGAUGAUAGAGCUUAUGAAUCAAUCAACCUAAAAGACAUAUGAUGGUCAACAAGAAGUAAUUCAUGAAGAUUAAGUACAUGUUCAUUCCAAAGGAGGUGGACUGGGUACUUGGGAGUGUAUAGUAGAAACUUGGGCCAAAAAUGCACCAUGGACAUUGUUAGUGUGUGGUAUGACGCACACUUGAUGAGCUGCUAUCGAUGAUACGAUUCCAUAUUGUGUGAGUUGUUUGUAAAUAGCCUAUAUGCACCCAAUGAUUGAAUGAUGACAUGUGGAGAGUUUAGACCACAAAUGAUCUAUAUGCUAUCCAAUGCUACACAUGGAAAGUAUAGACCGCAAACAACAGACAACAUCCAUACUAUGGAAAAAAAUGCUGACCAUAAGAGCGCAUGCCUUAUGCUACAGACUACCUAUAUAUUUUACGUUGUCAAUCUUUAUAAAGUUUUUUUGCUAUUGACAGUCAAAGUUAAAUACUUUGAGCUCUGGAGCAAAAUUAGAAUCAGAUGAGAAGUUGAUAAUGUAUAAAUUUCCUGAAACACCAUGUCUUAGUUGGGAUUCUUCGCUAAAUUUCAGACAAUCGAUGAAAUUCUUGGUGGUGAUGUCCGUCUAGUAGAAUCUUCAAAAGUUGUUCUUGAGCAAAUGUGAUCAGAUUGUAGUUGGGAAAAUCUUUUCAACAAGGUGUACGAGUUUUGUUUGGACCACAGCAUAGCUGUUCCAAACACGGUGUAAACAUACAUUUUGCGCGAUGGUUACAAACGAGCAUUACUUCCAGGUGGAAUAUUUCGAGCAACACUCAUACUGAACUAACUGAAUUAAAUUUCAAGUUCAAUGAGAAGUUAAUGGGUCAUCCAUAAAUGUCACACAGUAGUUCCCGAAAAUGGAUUUGCAUCUGUUGAAAUAUGGAAACAGGUGGAGAAGUGCUUUCCAGCUGAUUUUAUUCAAAAAGGUAGACUGGGUUGAGCCUCAAUUGAAUCUUGGUGGAUGCUUCCAGCUGCCCAGAAUUGAAAAGGACCACAACCUUACCGAAGCUUGGUUGAGAUAGGACACCAGAGAGUACAAAUUGAUUGAUAGAUUGAUCCAUUUGCUUUGUUACCCUUCCAAUUACCACAGCUAGUGUGGAGCGUGCAUUUUCCAGCUUAUUAAGUCAUGGCUGCAUAACGGAUGGAAGAUGACUAGUUCCCUUUUCUCCAUGUAAUUACUUAGUAGGCUUCUAAAGAUAAUUGCAGGCAUUUACUUGACUAAAUCUGGUUAAUGAUUCAUGAAAGCAAAUUUAUGUGAUGUUGUAUUGCCAUCUUUCAUAGUUACCAUGUACUAAUACGUAAUCAUUUCAUUUGAGGAAGCAAAAACAUGAUAAUUAACAUGCCCAAGAUUACAUAUAUGAAUACUGUUGGAAUGAAGAGGAAACACCACUUUGUCUUGAGCAGAAGGUUCUUAAGAGACACCACAAAAGAGGCUAAUGAUGCCACAUCCCAGCACCUAAAGUAAGAACAAGCGUAAGGAACAUACCAGUUUCAGAACUCUUACACCAAUACUGAGAAACGUUGAAGUGGUUAAAUAUUAACGGAUAAAGUGAUACCUGGUAACGCAUAUCAGAGAGCAUCUUCAAGUGCAAACUUCCCAUAGUUACCAACUAAACAAGGCGGCCACUCCAUAAUAUAGGGAUGAACAAUAUUGUCAAAUGUCCUCCGAAAUAGUCUUUCCAGCUUCAUCGUUUCCAAAAAUAGGGACAGGAAUAACCAGCAUGGACUUCGGGGGUCAUGAUGCAUCAAUGAUGUAGCCAAGUACACGUAGCCAUCCUGAACUGCCAAAACAAACAGCUCAUCAGGGUUGUCCACCAAAUUGUUCAGCACCCUGUCGUCAUCCAAUCCACAACGGAGGACUCGUGCAAGCUCACUGCCCAAGGGGACUAACCGGUCCAGUAACCAUCUGUCACCACCAUCGUCAUCCCUUAUAUGCAUCAAUACACCAAUAUUCAAUUGAUCUGAACAAACAAUGCAAGUUGCACCUUGCUUUGUCUCACCGACAUCAAAGCUAGAGUUCCUCAGACAGUGGGAGCUCAAUGACAGAGAAUUUCAUCGUGACGGUGUCAAGUGAAACUAAUAAAUGCAUCUGGUCCUCAGACCCAGUACAUGAACCCAUUAGCUUUGCAUCACACCAACUGCAUUCUGAACCCAACGGUUAUCAUCAUCUGACCUCACAGGGGCAGGGACCUCCACCCACGGGUGAUUUUUCCACUCUCCUCAUGCAUAAGAAACACAACGACGAAUGAUGUGGGAUCCUCGGCCGAGACAGCAAGCGAGGUGAAGCUGGACGGUGGGGCCAAAGGACCCAUCAAAGACAUCUUGAGGAGAGUGAUCAAAGGCAUUUUCUCUGCGGCGCGUCAAGGGGUUCAUCACCACCAGUAUUUCGUCAUCCCAAUUCAGCAGGAGGACGUAGCCGCGGGAGCAGUCGAGGACGUCCCAGCAGGGGAUUUCACCGGGGCCAUCCUGGAGGGAGGUGAGGAAGAAGUCGCCACCGCGGACGGCGGCAGCCAGGUCCCGGUCGCGGGGGCGGGUGGGGGCGAAGGCAGGGACGUUCGGGAUCUGUGCAGGGCCGGGGACCUCGAAGAAUAAUCCGAGGAGAGGCGAUGGGUGGAGGGCGCGGAAGCGGCGGCGGUGAGAUUAGAUUUGUUUUCGGUAUAGUUUUCCAAAUGGGCCGCCCGGCCCUAGCCCGGCACUAACCCAUCCUGGCCCGGCACUAAUAGGCCCGAAGGGUUUUCAUGCCGGGCUGGGCUGGCACUGCGUGCCGAGGAGGUGGCCCAGGCCCGACCUGACGACCUUUUUAUCAGGCCGGGCUAGCCCACUAACACGACGGGCCAUGCCGUGCUAGUGCCCAGCCCGGCACUGGCAGCGGCGGCCGACUCCAGUUGCCCCUGGAGGGCGGCGACGGCCGGCCUCCCGCAGACAGUCGCCCCCCGGUGGCGGCAGCUGCCGCCGUGCGUCGGCCCCCUGGCGGCGGCGACCAGCCCCCCGCGUCGGCCCCUGGCGGCGGCGGCGGCUAGCCCCCCUUGGCGGCCUCGGGCGGCGGAGGCUGGCCCCCGCGCAGCUGGCCCCCUGCGGUAGGCAUGGUGGCUCCCGUCCCCAAGCAGGAAGGUCGGGAGGAAGGUGGGAGGACCCGGGAGGGAGGUGGGAGGACCCUGGGAGGCUAGGAUCUUGGGGAUGGGUGGACGGCCAAAUGGGGAAAAUUGAAAGGAUAAGUUAGGGUUUUGUAUUUAUAUGGUAGUUAGAUCGGAUCACAUCGGACCGGCCUAAAAAUCAUGCUGGGCUCGUGCUGGCCCAGCGUGCCGGGGAGGCAACCCAGGCUUGGCACCAUCAUUAUGCCGGGCCAGUCCUGGCACUAUUCACUUCGUGCCGAGCCUGUGCUCAUGCCGUGCUUUUUAGUGUCGGGCCUUGGGCCGCCCAACGAGCCUGGCCUAUUUGGAAAUCUUUGAUUUUCGGCGUGGCGCCAGCGGUGGCUGGAUCGCAGAGGGGGUUUUGGCGCUUUGCUUUGGUGAAAAUGUUAAGGCGCCUUUUUAAAAAACUGAGCCCAUCGAAUCAUGUGCUAAAUGGGCCUGGAGGUUCACAUAUCAUCUCAUCUUAGGGGGUGUUUGGCACACAAGGGUUAAAAUUUAGCCCCCGUCAUAUCGGAUGUUUGACACUAAUUAGGAGUAUUAAACAUUGGUUACUUAUAAAACUAAUUGCACAACCCAUAGGCUAAAUCGCGAGAUGGAUCUAUUAAGCCUAAUUAGUCCAUGAUUUGACAAUGUGGUGCUACAGUAACCAUUCGCUAAUGAUGGAUUAAUUAGUCUUAAUAGAUUUGUCUCGUGAUUUAGCUUACGGGUUCUGCUAUUAGUUUUGUAAUUAGCUCAUAUUUAGUCGUCCUAAUUAGCAUCCGAACAUCCGAUGUGAUAGGGCUAAAGUUUAGCCCUAUCUUCCAAACACCUCCUUAUUAGGCCUAGGGCGUGACACAUAUAGGGGUGUUUGGGAGGAGGGGGCUAAAGUUUAGUCCCGUUACAUCGAAUGUUUGGACACUAAUUAGGAGUAUUAAACCUAGACUAAUUACAAAACUAAUUACACAACCCAUAGGCUAAAUCGCGAGACGAAUCUAUUAACCUAAUUAGUCCAUAACUUGACAAUGUGGUGCUACAGUAACCAUUCGCUAAUGAUGGAUUAAUUAGGCUCAAUAGAUUCGUCUCAUGAUUUAGCCCAGUGGUUCUGCUAUUAGAUUUAUAAUCAGUUCAUAUUUAGUCAUCCUAAUUAGCAUCCGCCAACGUGAAGUUCAGCCCCCGUCUCCCCCGCUCGGCCCAUUCCUUCUCGUAGACACUACCGGUGAGGUCAGGAUCCGUCACCUACCCGCAGCCGCCACCGCCCCUGCCGCCGGCCGCAAUGACCUCCGUCACUGAUCCAAGCCAGCCGCCGCCGGCCAGGACCCCCUCCACCAUCCACUCCCUCGGUGAGGACCUCCUGCUCGACAUCUUCCUCCGCCUCCCGUCCCUCGCGGCGCUCAUCCGCGCUGCCCUCACCUGCCGCGCGUGGCGCCGCGCGGUGGCCUCCUCCCCCGCCUUCCGCCGCCACUUUCGCGACAUCCACCGGGCGCCCCUCCUCGGCCUCUUCUUCGAGACCCCCAGCGUCGGCCAAGCCCCUGCCGUCCCUGCCUUCCCCUCCUUCGUCCCUGCCCGCCGUUCCGACAGGGAUCUGGCCGCCGCCGUACGCGGCGGCGACUUCUUCCUCACCUCACUCCAGGAGCGCCCCGGCGGUCCCCACGGCUGGGACAUCCUCGACUGCCGCGGCGGAUACAUCCUCCUCAGGAACGACGAAGAGGAGAUAAUGGCGGUAUUGAAUCCCUUGGCACGGCGAAGCGAGCGGUUCUUUGAUCUUGCCCAUGAGGACACCCUCCAAGGUCACCGCGGCUACCCCGUCGUGUGUUAUAAUGCCUGCUUGCUCUGCUCCGACGAAGACCCCUUGUCGUUUCGAGUGGUGCUUCUUGCACAUGAUGAGUCCAGGGUACGGGCUACAUUCUUCUCCUCCGACACCAAUGAGUGGUCGAUUCUGCCGUGGGUCAAUGUCCCCGCGAGUUCAAGCCGUAAGAAAUUUUGGCUUCUGGAUAGCAGCAUGCAAUCAAAGGGGUUCUUGUACUGGGUUUACAAGAAUCGCAAGUAUAUGAUCACACUUAAUACAGUCACAAUGGAGUUUUCUGUCGAUGAGCUUCCUCAGCUCCUGAAGAAUGAGCAUUGCAGCUUUGUGGUUGGUGAAACAAGUAGUGGUGCACGCUGUAUUGUCUAUGCUAUUGAUUUCUGUGUUGGUUUGUUAUUGCGCAGAACAGAGAAUGGCAUCAUUGAGAGGUGGGACCUGCAAUGGGCUGCCCGUUUAGAUACCCAGCUUGAUCAGGUCCUCGGCGAACUAAUCAGUGUCUAUGAUGAGCUGCAAGUUGUAGCAGUCAGGGAUGGCUUUGCAUACUUGGCAACAUCAGAGAAAUCAGAUGAUACCCAGACUCCUAGUUGGUUCUUGUCCUUCUGCUUGCAAACAAUGGAAUUGGAAAAGCUGUUUCAGAGGACGUAUGACGCUGGUGUUUACCCCUAUGUUAUGACAUGGCCUCCUUCUUUAGUUGGUAACUAUGGGAGUUUCGCUCUUGAAGAUGCUACACAGAAUGCAAUAACUGGCCAUCAGAUGUGAUACAAGGAAUAAGAAAUGGAGAAGCCAGCGAAACCAAGCACUGGUUGUUGUUUGCAAGGAAACUAACAUACCCAAAUGCAGAUGCAUCAUGCUGACAAAUCAAACCGUAAUCCAUGAUGCCGAAGAUUCAGUCACCACUCGCUAGUCAGUUAUCCUAUGCUUUGCUGUUUUGCACUGGUUAUUGUUUUACCAUUAGUGAGCUCUUUUUCAGUGCUGAUCUGAUGAUUCUGGACUUUAUUUUAUUCUGUAUGCCCAUCAUAGCUAGCUGUUGGGUUACACUAUUAUUAGGAGUCUCUUUUGUUGUCUGUCUGUAAGAUCCUUUAUCCAAAGAGAACAGUGGCUAUGUAUCUUUGUUGCAACAUUAAAUCUUAAGAUUACUGCUACCUGUUACUUAGGCUUCUCCAAUUUGAUAUUGUCAUCCUAAGAUUACUGCUACCUGUUUGGUAUGGAAUACUGUCAUCUUAAGACUACUGCUACCUGUUAGGUAUAUAUGAUGGUAGAGUGGCUACACCUAUGGAGGUAGAUGUACACACACAGAUGGUUAACUUUGUGUUGUACAUGAACUGAAAACACUUGAUAUACAUAAUAUCUUAGGUUAUAAAAGCCUUAUCAGCAUUGACCGUUUUUAUCUGCUACACCUGUAGGAAAUGUGAUAUAUAUAUAUAUAUAUAUAUAUAUAUAUAUAUAUAUAUAUAUAUAUAUUGUCAAAUCUUGAAGGAUUUAUCCUACAAAAGUUAGGAUCAAAACUGUUCCUCUAAAGCUAAAGGUAGCAUUAGUUGUAUGUGCUAAAGUAAAGGGACUAGCUUGAUAGUUUCAUGUAUUGUGGGAAAUUUUCUGACAGGUUCUCCAUUUUGAUACUGGGAAAUUGAUCGGCUGAAGAACACACGUUUAAAAAAAAAAAGUGGUGCCUAGGCAGUGCAACACCUCACUUCAUGCUAGGCCUGUUUAGGUGGUUUCCUCUCACUUGCGCCUCGCAGCUCACUGCUUUGUGGCACCUAGUCAGUGCAACACCUCACUUCAUGCUAGGCCUGUUUAGAAUGGAAAUGUGCCAAUUCAAGAUGAUGCCAUGAGGGGGCAUGUGAGCUUGUGGAAUACUUUGUCUGCAAUAUAUCUUUGCCUAAAUGUGGAACCUGUUCUGGAUCUCUAGAUUAUGCCUUUCCUUAUGUUAUAUUGCACAUCCAUCUCUUUUAGAUGGAAAUGAAGAAUUUUGUACUCCCUCCCUUCUCUUUUAUAUGGCAAGAAAGUAGUCCACCUACACAAGAUGGCACGGCAUCUCAAGAAAUUUGUAAAUUUCAAGCCCAUGCAACAAAGUAGUCCACCUGCACAAGAUGACACAGCAUCUCAAGAAUUUUGUCAGUUUCAAUCCCAUGCAACAAUUUUGAGCAGAACUGCCUUGGAUAGGAAAUCCCUACCGGUAGACAUAGGUUAGACAGAUCAAGGUUUAAUACUACGGAGUAUGAUGCUAAGGUAGGUCUUUUUUUUACUAUUCAAUUGCUCUUUGUUUACAAGUCCUAUAUCUGGAAAUUUUGUGAGACCACGAAAGUGGUGUCAUUAUUGGCAGCAGUAUAGCACUAUGGAUCUCGUACUUCAACUGUUGACCAGGUUCCCUUGAGCGCCCCGAAUUGGCGAAUUCAACCUUGUCAUGCUGUCUGAUAAGGUUAUCUUUAACUAGGAAUGAAAAAACAACUUAAUUUACAAGGCAAUUGGCUUUCCACGGUUAAAGAACAGAAAAUGCUUUUGGUCCACAUCAUGAGUCCAGACUAAAAUCCAUUAUUCCACAAUUCACAAUAGAUUUCUUUUCCAUGUAUCUGCUGUUUCUUAUAGCACAGGGCACAGCUAUAAGAUAGAAGCACAGCAUUUCAACAAUGAAACCACAAAGUUUAGUCCAAGAUUAAGUAAAGGGGUUGUUGAAUUUGAUAUUACCGAAGUUGCAAUGUGUUAUGCUUCUAAAGGGAACCAAGCAUCUUGGUAUGCAAAAGAUGGUUACUGAAUCAUACAAGCAAAUUAUAUCAACACAAAUAUAUCAUAUAGAAAGGAUGUUGAUGUUCUACAAUCUACUGUUAUCUUUUCCAGCUACUUAGUAACACUUAAUCAUCUAAUACUGAGAAAGAGAUCCAUACUAAUUGAUUAGCAAUACUAAUUGAUUAGCAUGCUCGAGAUUACAAGGACAUCGUUGCAAUGAAGAGUAGACACUCCUUUUGAGGACAAGGAUCUCACAGCCACAAAAGUGACUCCUAAAUACAAAAACAAAGCAGACUAAACAGCCAGGUUCAUAAUGCUAUAUAUACCGAUACUGAGAAGUUCUGAGUGGGCAAAAACUAACUGAAGGUAAUGAACUCUAGUAACAGUGGUGUAAACUUGUUGACAAGUGGUCAACCGCAAAGAACAAGGUAUUUUCUAUCAUAUCACAUUUUCCAUUUUAUAAUAGUGACUGAAGUCCAGUCAAGGGACUUGCGCUGAAGGACGCUUUGGCAGAGAUCAAUCGUGUCCUUGUGAACUCCGCAUCUGUCAUCCAGAUAACUUAAGAUCUGCAAGGACAGACCACGAAGAGGAUAGAUAAGUGCCAAAAAAAACAUUUAUAAUCCAAAUCAGACAGCGUCAACGGUAAUGCACUGAAUCAUGGAAGGAAACUGCACUUAAAUUACACAAUACAGAGCUCAGAAUGUUCAAAGAUAUCCCCUAAGACCAGGGGUAGGUGAACCUUUGUCUAACCAGAACGUAUCAGACAAUGCAAACAUGUCCAAAGAUGGCAGAUACUAUUCACUGCCCCCAAUAGCCUGAUCAGCAAUGCAACAAGUAAGCUACAAAAUUAGAGCAAGAAACAGAACAUAAGAGAAUUCCCUCAAAAACAGAACUUAAGAGAGGGAGAGCUUCAAUUCUCACGUACAUAAGAGAGGGAGAGCAAGUAGAAUACAAUCUUUUACUCCAAAGGGUACAUCGCUGAAAGAAAAAAAAGUACAGCUGGGACACUAGGUACAAUUUCUAUGGCACAAUCAGUAGCUCAGCGCAUACCAAGCAAUAAUCCAUAUAUUUAAAUGAUGCAAGACCCAACCGGCCAACCCCAAGAUCAGAUUAGCAAUUCAAUACACCAUAAUCUCUACGAAGUUCAUGACUUUGCUGCCCAACAAAUGUUCGUCCAUACUACAGAUUGAUAGUUUUGGAUUUGAAUAAUUAGGUACAUAAACAACCUGAGCUCAGUUCUGUUUUGGAGUUAAUACUUAGAUACAUGACCUGCAGGUACAGAAAGAAUUAUUAAAUUUAAAGCAGAAACAAAUAUAGUGACGAAAAUUCGAAUCAUUUUAAUAAAGCGAGACAAUACAUUGUCCACAAAAUAGAUACAUCUCUCACUGUCUCACAUAGUUUCAUAUAACUCAACUGAAACAUUGAACUUUUCACACCUUAGAACAUUUUCGAACUCGUAUGAACCUCAAAUUUGGAAACAACCUAAUGUUUAUCUUAGUAUUAGAAAAUAUGAAGUUGCACUAGCAUUCCCAGUGCAAAAAAAUAUAAUGGGACUGAAUCGGGUUUGCUAAAGUAGGUCCCCAAUGAGACUAAGAUCACCAACGAACAAGACACACCGAUAAGAUCAUAAGAGAACAGUUUGGUAGGUGCACAAAUAAUCCCUCAUUGAUCAUUUGCAUACAGGGACCUGUGCUUGUGCAAUGCCCAUCACAAACAGGUCAAUAAUUAGUUAAAUAAUUUCACCUUAUAGCAAACACAGUGCUCGUGGCCUCACAAUGGCCCUCUCAUAGUCUCAUUGAUCAUUUGCCUUCUCCACUGAGAAAAAAAAAUGACAUUGAGAAGUAGUCAGGAGUCAGAGGCACAAGCUAACACUAUAAGGGAUCUGUUGAUUAGUGACGAACCAAAAUGUAUCAUAAACAUGCUUUUUUCAUCAUAAACCGUGAUUUAUGAUGCUCAUGUGACGAGCAAACCAUUUGUCACUAAUCGAGCGUCAUAACCACGAUUAGUGAUGUUCCUUAUAUUUGCGCGUCACUAAAUCUAUGGCACCUACGAAACGUCCACACAAACAUCACAAAUUGGCUCCUACGGUUUUACCAUGAUGGAUAAGAAUCUGAUGUGACAUGACCAUUGUGAUAAAUUGUUUCAUCAUACAAUGAAUUUGCCACAUUUGUUGUUGGGUCGAGCUCAAAUUUGUUCCGAUAGGCCAAUAUUUUUCCGAUAGCCAAAAAUUUGUUCUGAUAGGUCCUUUUGUUUUCUCCCGAUUUAUGAAUGAAAUACAUUUUUGGCACAAUUAUAUGUGAGCUAAGCCCACGUAAGGAAUAAAUUUUUCAAAUUCAGUCUGAGAAAUAAUGGAUUUCAAUUCAUUUCCAAAUUAUUCAUCACAGAUCACAAUGUAAGAUCACUAUCUUACAAAGAAGAAAGAUUAACAAAGUUGCAUACAUGACAUAAGCUCAAACCACAAAGUAGAGCAUCGAUUUUAACCUCUUGCAAAGGUUAGCAGUUGACGAAGGAGUGCUUCAGUGUCUUGUGAUAACUUCUUCAAGUUCUCAAUCUCAGCUAAUUGCAAUUUGAGAGUUGAUUCCGAAUCUUCUGUCUUCUUCUUCAAGGUAACUCUUGCUGGUGAGUAAGAAACCAUUAUCGAAGUUGUACCCCAUCUUGUUUGUCAGCCUCAACUUGCUCCUUGUCAACACCACCGCAUCAGGAUUUGGUAGAGUUUCUUGAACACUCAGCAAAAUCAUCAGGUUUUCAUUUUGCAAGAAGCACCAUUGAUCGGAGUACUUCAAUCUAGCUACAACAUGAUUCAAAGUCAGACUAUGAUCAAGUUUUCAUUUUGCAAGAAGCUCCAUUUAAUGUAAGGAAAGAAGGAACAGAAAUACAUAUUGUGUUAAGGGAGUGCACUAGAGCGACUACAGAUGUUGACCCUUUGCCCCGCUGAAACAAGAUAUUGUCAAACUUUAGUAUUAGAUUAACAAAGAAUUCUUCCAUUUUUCAUGAAUCGCUCUUUAAGAUCAAAUGCGCAAUGCAUCUACAUCACAUCACACCUGCACCAUCGCAUGCCACUCACACAAGAAACUCAAUUGAGGUGUUUAUGUAUUAGCGAAAGGGAGAUGGUAAACAAAAGGGAAGAAAUGCACAGGCAGAUAGAAGAUCUCGAUUUUACUUCUGUAUUCUCCAAGUUUUAAUAUGCAAUGCAUCUGAGAAGAACGGCAAGCAUUGUAGUAGAAAGAAGUUGGUCAAGAAACAAUACAAGCAAAUUCCGUCCACAAAAAUAGACAGUAACAAUGGAUCUUGUAGCAAGAGAAAAUAUUCCAUAUGCUCUCUUCAGGACAAGGAGCUUACAGACAGAUCACAAAGGAGACUCCUAAUACCACAACCCAGUGGUUUUCAGAGAAUAAAUAAACAUAAAUCAUAACCCAGUAGUUUUCAAAGAUUAAAUAAAAAUAAAUCACAAUCCAGCACCACAUUCGGAUCAGAGCAGACCAGGUUCUGAAUACUCACAGCAAAGAACUUGUAGUUUCCCAUAUCGCGGAGCAGAUUGGAGCCCGAAACGAACCUGCUGGCCUGGCCCGGACCAGGAAGAGGCAUUUCUAACAAUUUUUACACUAAAGAAGCACGGAGGCCCAGCAUGAGCCCAUCCGGUUUUGACAGAUUUUUCUGUGGCCUGACAACCUUACUGGGUGGGCAUCGGCCCAAAAUAAACCGAAAAUCUAUCUGGUUUCUGGAAUUUUUUUUACUUAGCUUCCAUUGUUGGAGCUCCGUGCAAAGGCUGAGAUUGCGAGUUUUCUUGGGCACGAAACGGGUUCACUGGAAACCCGAAGGAUAGGUGUCAACAGCCGAGUGAAGGAGGCGGAUGAGAAUCUAGUUUGAGUUCCAAACUUAAAAUACCAUUAUCUCUUAAACCGUUAAUCCAUUUCGAAAUCAGUUUGAACCACCGUGUUGUUUGUAAUUAAUGCAACGAAAUGAGAUCCAAUAUGAAUAUAUUUUUUAUUUUUUAAUAUAUCUUUUAAAAUCAACAUUCAGAUUGCAGUAUUUCAACAAUUUGAACAACUACUUCAACAUUUUGGACAUGCUGCUUCAACAUUUCUAUACAAAAUGUUGAUCCAGUUUAUCUGAAUUGUUGAACUAACUUUAAGAAAAUGUUGAACCUAGUUCUUUAAAAUGUUGAAUAUAUUAGUUAAACGGUCUAAACGUGUUAGUUUAAUUUUAUGUGAAAAAUACUAAAACAGUAUAAUCAGAAUGUUAAUUAGCUUUUUUUCAAUCAGGAAUGUCGACUAAAUUUUUUCAAGUUGAAAUUCAUUUCGUCAUACAUCUAAGCACCUGAUUAGCAAAUCAGGAAUGUCGACUAAAUUUUUUCAAGUUGAAAUUCAUUUCGUCAUACAUCUUAGCAUCUGAUUAGCAAAUAGCUAGCAUAAUUAGAAGAAUGGAGAAAGGAAAAAAUAAACAAAAGCGUACAUGCCGUGAAGACUCAUCGCCGCAUGGCCCUGCGUUUGACUGGUGGGCUGUUAAUGGAAGAAAUCGGUACGGUUGGUAUUUGGGCCUGGUGGGCUUUAUAGCCAUGUAGUUUAAUGAACUUCCGGUAGCUACAUAGGAUCCCCAAAUAAACCGGCUGGUCAAUUCCAUCACCAUCAGAAAAGGUGCUGCGAAUGCUGCUGCGAAUUCUCCUUAAAUCCUUUUAUUUUAAAGGAAUUGGAAUCUACUUGGUGGGGUAGACUAUUUGUUUUGAAAUGUAAGCAUACCAUAACUUUCCAAAGUUUAGAUAUAAGUCUGUCUUAAAUUCAUAGGUGGGACAUGCUAUGUUUCUAAUGUGCAACUUAUAGCACGUUUUCGACACGCUUCCUGUAGCAGAAGUGCACAUAAGUAUCUCUCCCAUAUGAUAAAUAUACUCCACAUACAACUAUAUUAGUUUAAUUAAUUUGUGUCUAAAUUAAGAAUGGAAUUCAAUUCCAAGGAUCGGGCCUCAGAAAAAAUGUACCCGCAAAUAAAAGGGAUGCUGUUAAUUUUAGUUUUUAUUUUUAGGGAAUGCUGUUAAUUUUAGUUGAAAGGAACCAGGUCCGCGUUCCUACAAUUGCAUGCGUAUGCAUGAAGUUGUUCUCAUGAAUUGUUAUAUUGGACCUAGCAUUCCUACCAGGUCUCUGCAUCCUUUCUUUCAUGUGAUCCGAAAGAAAAUUCUAUAGUUUAUUUCUGUGUACCUUCAAAGUUCAAAUUACCGAAACACUGCAAUUGCCCUUGGAAUCAAACUUAUCAAGCACGAUGAAUUUGGUCAGAUAAUUCUUCCCCUUUUCAUGAACCCACAGGUUCCAAUCGAAUGUGCACCAGAUCGAGCAACAUCACAUCAUAUUUACACCAUCAUACAGACGACUAAUUCAAUCCAGUUCGAAUGUGAACGCAUCAGCAAUUGACAAAUGGAGAAGAAGAGGGACGAGGCGCACGAACAGGGGGAGGCGUCACAAGGCGGCGAGGCCGAGGAAGUCGACGGCGGACUUGGCCAUGAUGGCGGUGAACUCCUGGAAGCUGAUGACGCCGUCGCCGUCGGUGUCGGCCUCGCGCAUCAUGUCGGUGAGCUCGUCGUAGCAGAUGGGGUGCCCCAUCCGCGCCAUGGAGCGCGCGAGCUCGGCGGCGGAGAUGAAGCCGUUCCCGUCGCGGUCGAAGGCGCGGAAGGCCUCGGCGAGCUGCGCCUGGUCGACGGCCACGGCGGGGCGGCAAGGUCCCAGGAGCAGCGGCGCGAGGGAGGACGCCAGCUCGUCAAACUCCACGGUGCCGUUGCCGUCGGCGUCCAUGGCGGCGAUGAGCGCGUGGAUCUCGUCGCCGGCGGCCGGGCGGAGGCCCAGGGAGCGGAGCAGCGCCGCAAGCUCCAGCAUCGUGAGGCUCCCGUCGCGGUCGAGGUCGAAGCGGAGGAAGAGCUCCCGGAGCUGGCGGAGCUGCUCGUCGCGGAGCCGCGCGCGCCCGCCGCCCGCCGGGGCCGAGGAGGGGUCCCUGGCCUUGCCGCCGCCGGCGGGGGGGUGGGGCAUGGACGCCGAGCGCUUGGUGCGGGCGGCGGCGGCCGUCGUGGACAUGGUCGCGGGCUGGGCGGGGGACGCUGCUGCGGUCGCGCUGCCUUCUCGGACGCGGUCUUCGGUGGCGGGGCGGGAGCUCUGCAUGCCGUUCCGUGCCCGUGCCGACAGAGAUAUAAUACGCGCGGGGGCCGGGGGGACUUGGCUUUCCGUUGGGGCGCCGUUUUGACGAUGCGGCCGUGGCGUGGCUUGUGCAGUUGCUAUUGUUUUGCUGUUGCUGCGUCUCGGUAUAGCUGUGGGGGAGCUCAAAUUGGAUUGUUUCCUCCGUGCGGUCAUGCGGGGGUUUCAACUUUCAAACCUUGGUCGUUCACGGUAAUGAUGUGUUGGAGUUCAACGGGGGGUGGUCGUUCACGAAUCACGACAUUGAUCUACUGGAGCGUCCACCGUUUGGCAUUGAAAUGCGUUGUGACAAAGUUUGGGACACCCCAUCAAAAAGUGCUUGAAGUUUUGUUUUCUACGGUCAUCAUCAAGGUGUGAUUUCGAUCUAUUUUCAGUACUAUAUUUAUAAAAUCUAGUAAAUUUGUGAGAUCGUGAAAGCACUCUUCAAUUAAAAAAAAUUAUGGCCAGGCAAAGUUGCAAUAGUGCGAGCGGAACCUGGUCAAAAUGCCAUUUAGUCAUUACUCGUGUUUCAUCCAACCACCAGUUGAAUUUUCGCACCACGUCAGAUUUUGAUGUGGCUUCCUUUGCCAUGUUAGCAAUGGACAAGGACGAACGCGUGUGAGUAUGCCAACCAUAUGGGUAAUAGUUUUACUUGCUUUGUGUUUUUCUUUGCAAACGACUACUCAUAAAAGUGGCACAGAUGAGGAAACUGCAUUCCAACGAUACGUGCCAGGAUUGGGUCAGCGUACCCAAUCAAAAUGAUUUACGACAAGACAUUUCUUCCAUAAAAAAACAGCAGAGAAGUUCUCAACACUCACCAUAACAGCAGUACAAUCAGCCUGACCGCGAAAUGGCAACGACCAACAACGGAUGCUGCACCAAGCAAAACAAAAGAGACAGCGAUGGCAAUUUAUAAGAAUCAAUACUGCCACUCGUAUUACUACAUUGUUUGCCAUCCCAUACAAGAUUGCAACAAGCAUCCUCGGAAAUUCUGAGAUAUCACUGGCAGUAUCCAAUCGAAUCAUGGACAGUUCGCUCAAUAGAUAUUGCGCAUUGUAAGAAAUUUAUCGAAGUGUUAUGCCUUCAAUUCAGUGAAACAUGAACGGAUAACAUAAUCAUGAAUAAGAACUGAAGGCUAUGCAAGUGAGACGUUGAACAUCUCAUAAAUUGUUGAGGGGCAAGCUAUGUGUAGGCAUGCUUUCUCUGUAGCAAGGAUACCCGGGAUUCAUGCUUUUCUACCUCAGCCACCAUCUUUGAACUGCCGAAAUGGGAGUGUUGAGGAAUGGUGCAUAUCGAUAAAUGUAGGGGUUUACCGCCCGGCCUAUUCUUGCCCACACGCUCUGGUGGUAUCCGGAUGUGACAGGAGCAUGGUACAUCAGCUUCAACAACUGCACGAAAAGAAAUGUCCGAAAAGGUUAGCUAGGUAAUUUAGUUCUAGCUGAACAAUUAGUAGGCUUCGUAAAUCAAACAGCCCAGAGUCAACAAUAAG